AAUGAGAAGUUUAUUAGAUGAUAUACGUGGGCAACUGUGGUUAACGUUAGCCUUUGAUCCUUAAUGCAUAGCAAGUCUGUACGUAGAAAUCUACGACCCUACAAACUGCUCUCAGCAAGUCUCAAUUGCCACUGUAUUUGUCUGGUGGCCUGAGCUUAAAGCAUUGGUUCGCCCACCUGGGCUUUUAUUCGAGGUUCCACAUGGGCUUUGGACUCGUCGGUCUUUCAAAAAAAAAAAGAAAAAAGUAAAAGAGUUGGCAGCCACUGAAGAAAUGGACGGUGUAACUGUUGAGUAACGACUUUAGACCAAGAAUAGUAUAACCGUUUUCUUAUCCUCGUACGUUACCAUAUCCUUUCCCUUCCCACACUCUCUCGUCUCGUCUCAUCUGUUGACUUUUUUCCCUCUAACCACCACCGCCCAAAUAAGGUCUACGUUUAGCUAUAGUAUUAUUAUUUAUUAUUUAUUUUCAUUUUUAUUAUUUGGUUCGGACGAAAAACUAUUGACAGAAAUUUCGCCACAUGAGACAGUUGGCUGGCUGGCUCCUAUUACCGAUCAUCGUAUGGGAAUUUCCUGGAUGGAUCAAUGGUCUCAUCUGCUAGCUUUGCAAAGGAGCUACCUACCUUAUCCCUUUAUUAUUUAUUUAUUUGCAAUUUGAUUUUGACAGUGUGACCACUUUUUUCUACUCAAAUAGUUGUGCUAAUUGCUAAUUAAACACCCCCAACUCCAUCCUUUUGUUCACACUCCUCAACUGCGUCAAUCCUCUUAACUGGGAGGGGUCCAUGCCUUAUCCACAUCCCCACACAUAUAUAGUUGGGGAGUUGGAUCAAGUUUAGGUGGAAAAGAAUUAAUGCAAAGUACUUUGGACCAGAAAAAAAAGAAAAAGAAAAAGGAAGCUGUCGUAAGAUUUGGACCAGAAGAAGUUCACCUGAAAUUAUAGCACCAACCAAUCGACUCAUCUUUGGUGUUUCUAGUCUAGCUAUGUAUGCAUUGCUUAGUUGCCAACUUGCCAAGCUAAUUAAUUCUCAAUUAAAUAAGUAAUUGACUACCCCCCACGUCUUUCAACGGACACUAAAUUGCCAUUUGCCUAUACAUGUUUGUCCCAUUUGUUUCCAUUAUCCGUUUCGUUUUUUCAUGGGUGGUCGGUUGUCUCUAGAAAAACAGUUUACCCAACCAUGCAAGCCUCCCCGUGUAAUCUUUUUAGCUCACAGUCAAGUCUAUUUUUUAGGGUUUUAAUCCUGAAUGAAAGAUCUCUCUCUAAAAUAUAUCCUCUAUAAGUAAUUUUGUCUCAAAUAUAUAUCCCAAAACAAGAUCCUCAAAAUUAAAUUGAGGUUGUCAUCUUAUUAUAUGUUAGAGUACUAUUGCUUUUUAUUCAAAGUUUAUUUGAGUUGACAAGCACCAUCUCGCUGUCCCUCUUUCUUUCGCUGAUAAUUUUAUGCUAACUAAAUACAUAUACCUAUUUUCUCAUCUAAUCUAAACGAAUUAUGUAUUAAUAUAUAUAUAUAUAUAUAUAAGUAUCAACUAUUUGAAACAUUUAUUUUUUUUCAGUUUUCCCCAUGCAUGCAUGCAACAAAUAUUGUCGCAAUAUUAAUCCCCAUGCAUGGAGUAUAUAUAGUAGUAUAGUUAGUCAAAUCUUUCAUACGUAUUGAUGAUACUGCCCAAAUGUUUUGCUCUGAAAAGACCUAGACUGAGAAAACCUUUUUUAUUUUCUGGCUGCAAAUAAUUAAUUUACAAACAUGUGUCGUGGAAAUUGUAUACUGAGAAGCUAUGAUGAGUAUUGUUUUGGUGGAUGUGAGGAGAACGUACAUGUGUUGCCGUAACACAUAAUUAAGUAUGUAAUGAUAUCUCAGCAUGUGUGACAGACUAAGAUGGUUUUGUAGUAUUCGAUCGACUAAAAACAGUACAAGAUUAAGUUUAGUCAACAAUAUAAUUAUUAUAUUUAACAAUAUAAUAUCUUGCUAAUGUCAUCAAAUAAUAUCUUGCUCAUGCAUAAUAAUAAUUUAGGAAGCUUCAAGAAGAAGAAAAUCUGGCCUCCCUCCACUAUAUUUUAAUUAUCUUUUGUAAAAAGAAAAUAACGGAAGUAAUUAAGCAUUUUCCUAACCCAGCUGUACCUGAAAGAUUGAUAUGGUGCGUGGUGGUGGUGGUCGUGGUCGUGGUCGUGGUCGGUUUAUAGGUGCCUUAGCCGUGUUGCAAGACACGUGUCACUUGUUAGCCAACUUAGGGUGAUUUCCAGGAUGUUACUAUCCUUGAGUAACGGUCUUAAGACCGUUCUUCAGCCCAUUUAAAUAUUCAAAUUAGUGCUUUCUAUUUUAGAUUUAGUUCUAAACUUUUCUGUCACCUAAAGGCUAAAGCCAAACCUCUUUACCUUGAUCUCAAAAAAGGUUUGUGACCCCCCCAUUUACAAAAAAGAAUUUAUGAAAGAGUAUUGUAAUGAUUUUAAUUCCUACUUUUCUGUAAGAAUAAUUUAAAUUUGUGACUUCCUCACAUUUAUUUACUAAACAUACAUAAUAAAAAAUAAUGUGAGUUCAACGUUAAAAUAAAUAAUUAAAUAUUUUCAAAAUUAAUAAUGCAAUCAACUAAGAAGAAUAGUUCAUCAAAUUCUAAUUCCUGAAUUUCUCCAUCUGAAUUUCCUCAUUGCCAAAAAAAAAAAGUAAACAUAAAAAAUAAAAAAUAAAAUAAAAAAGGGUUUCGUGUGAAAUGGAAAGAUUUUAUUCAUGCUUGAACUACGAUUUCUAACCGUUAAUUAAAUAUGAAUAUCGUGUUCAUCAACAGUCCAAAUUUAGAAGCAUAACUGUUGAGAUAGAAACUAGACUGUUUCACUGUCACUUGUCAAAAGUUGCCAACUUGACAAAUUAUCAUCAUGCCAUGCCCACGAUUGACGAAGAAAAAAUGUCACUCGCAUUAAGAGGAGACUCUAGCGUCCAGCUCUUUACUAUAUCUGAUACGUGGUCCCUUCUACGUGGAUAUUCCUCCGACACACCACAAGUAGGCCCGCCCCGAACAUCUAAGCCGUUCCUUCCUCCUCAGAAAGAUCCAACGGUUCAGGUCCCAUCAGAAAAACGCGUCCGUUACUCUCCCUCCUCCCUCCCUCUAUAUACAUAUGUAUCUCCAUGCAUUAUCACUCAAUCCACCAGGACUACCAAUUACUUCUCACUACAAACACAACAUUUUUCUCAGUCUUAAUCCCUCACCAUAAUUAAGUAAAUAAUUAAGACUUGAUUAUAAUUAUAAAUCAAAAUGGCGUGGAUUGCUUCUUUGAAGAUUGUGCUAAUUUCGAGCGGCGUGGUGGCGUUGGCGUGGGCUAUGAAGCUCUCCGUUCCACUGGUGAUGGAAUUCGUAGCCUCUCACUUGCCGCUCGUGUGCGCCUCCUUCCGAUCCUUGCUCAGGCCUCCGUAUAUUUACGUUCUCAUCAACGGCAUCAUCAUCACCAUCGUCGCUUCCUCGAGGUUCCACAACGACCGCUCGCCUCAGCCUAAGCCUCAACCGGAAGAGUCUGAAUCGACCGUCUCGGAGACGCCGGCGGUUUACGAGCAGCGGAGAUAUCUAGAGCCUCUAGUUCAUGAGGAGGUGCACGAGGAGAGGCCUGCGGUGAUCAAUGGCUCUGUAGAAGCAGAGCCUGAGCCGGAGGUUAAAGAUGUACGUGUAGACGAAGACGAGGUUGUGAUCUCGAGCUCCAAGUGGACACCGCCAAAGAGUGUGAUGAAAUCCGACGAGAUUGCUUCGCCGGAGGUUGAAGAUGUUCGUCUAGAUGAAGACGAGGUUGUGAUCUCGAGCUCCACGUGGACGCCGCCGAAGAGUGUGAUGAAAUCCGACGAGAUUGCUUCGCCGGUGGAGAAACCUCUGGUUUCUGUGAGAUUCAGCCACCGGAAACCGGCUAGAUCCAGUCCUGAAGGUAUUUAAUUCUCAAUUUCGUGGUCGUAAUUUUCUGUUUAAUUAAUAUAAUCGUAAUUAGCGUCUAGGUUUAGAGCUUCGUUUGCCGGUAGUGAAGUAACGGUGUUGAAGUUUGAAAACAGUAGAGUUCAAAUGUGGCGUGCGUAUAUGUCUAUUUCGUACACCGUGCGAUUGAAUUGUCUAUGAUACCCUUUUAAAUGAACGGUUGAAAAGUAAAAAAUGCUCUGGCUCAUAAGGGUACAGUGGUCAUUUAGCGAUUUAUUAACCGGGAAACAUUUUGACAGGUGGGAAGCCGUUGAGAGUAGCGAAGCCAAAACGGCACGACACAUUGGAGAACACGUGGAAAGCGAUAACGGAAGGGCGUUCGAUGCCGCUGAGCAGGCACAUGAAGAAGAGCGAGACGUGGGAGAAUCACGGCCGUCAAGUUCAACUGAAGGUUGACUCAGCAGUGGACACGUCAGCGGUGCUGAACUCAGAGACGUUCAAGGACUGGACGAAUCAGCAGCAAGUGACAGCAUCGGCUGGGUGCGUAGGGAAGCUGAGGAAAGAGCCGUCGCUGAGCCAGGACGAGUUGAACCGCCGAGUUGAAGCGUUCAUAAACAAGUUCAAUGAGGAAAUGAGGCUGCAGAGACAAGAGUCGUUGAAUCAAUACAUGGAGACGGUCAAGCGUGGAAGCCAAUAAUCACAUAUAUGGUCAAAAUUUAUUUUUUUGAUUUUUCUCCUAAUUUAGUCAAAAGAGAUUUUUAAAAUUAGAUUGAAAUUAAUUUUAAUCAAAAAGAAAAGAAAAAGAUGGGAGUUACAAAUUCACAAUUAUUGUUUUUUGGGGGUUGUUUGUGUUUUUCAAAGUUCCAUUCGAUUCAUAAUUCAUGUAAGGAAGUUAUAUAGUCAUAGAAAAGGAAGGAAAUAUUUAUAUUUAUAAGUCAGUCAGUCUCUGUCUGUAAAGAAAGAAACCUUUUUUCUUUUCUUCUCUUUUUGGUUGUAUUGUAAAGGAAGAAACUUUAAUCUAUUUAAGUAUUUUUGUUGUUGUUGUAACUUGUAUGUAUCUUCGUCUUGAUUGUGUAGUUGUCAAAUUCUUUUUCUCUUACUUUAGUCUUUGGCAAAACCAUAAUUUUGAAUUUAGUGAAUAAAAAACUUAAAAUUAGUGAGAUAAGAAACUCCGCUCCGAGACUUCUGGAAACUCACUAGUCCAUAAUUAUGAUUAGUCAAAAUAUUUAGUGACUGAGUGACCUAAACAUGGCUUUCCAUCUGUCUAAAUUAUAUGAACCCUACGCUAUAGUUUUGGGUGAAGCUCAUUAAUUUAUAAUUGAUUUGCUUGCUUGGUUCUUAUCCAAACCCACAAUGAAUGACGCAUUAUUUUUCUUGUUGAGAACUUGAGAAUGAGAAGAGUUAUUUAUCCUAGGCUUAAUUACAUCAAUGCUCUUGAAAUUUAGGUCAAAUUUCAUUUUAUCCCUCUCAAACUUAAGAUGACCUACUUUCAUCUAUUGAUCGAGAUUUAAUGACCCACUUUACUCUCCUGCUGUCAACUUCAUUAAAAAAUAUGUUAACUUUGAUGAUGUGACAUGGAUGUUUUUGUAAUUUCGUAAACAUGGAUUACUAUCCACCAAUUAAGUGGGUGAUGUGGCAAGUGGAACCCACCUCCAUAUAAAUAAAAACAUAAUUAAAUAUGCUAAUAAUUAAAAAUUAAAUAAAAGCUUAAAAUCUACAUUUAAAAAAGAAUAAAAUGCCGAAAACCGAAGAAUCACAACCAUCACACCCAAGCAAGACACAGCCACAACCACCUCUCCGGAACUACUUCUUCAAGAAGUUUUUUUUUUCUUUUUCCCCAUCAAUCUUCAAGAAGUUCAUGGGAUAAAAAAAAAAAAUAUGACAAUUGAAAGCUCAUCAUUGGAAACCUUUAGUUUUGUGGGUGACCAUUGGACUAACCAUUAAAGCAUUCUAAUUUUCCCACUUUUAGAUGGAGUUGACAGCAGGGGAUAAAGUAGGCCACCAAACUUCGGUCAAAGUAUGAAAGUGGAUCAUUUUGGAUUUGGAGAAGCAAAGUGAGAUUUGACCGAAAUUUCAAAAGGCAUCGGUGUAAUUAAGCCCUUAUCUUAGUGGAAAUGGUUAAUUUCAAUUUAGUACUCCGAACUCUUACCUUUAAAGCACAUUUGCCCAUGCACUCUCAAUAUUAAAGAUUAUAUACCCUAAACUUCUCAAUCUUGUGCAAUAUGGUUCCAGAGUUAACUUCAUUGUCAAAAUUUUUGUUAAUUGCUUACGUGACAAGUCUGGGUCCCACCUAUUCACUUAUUUCAAUGUCAAUUCUUUAUGGAUGAGAAGACACCAAUUACCCGAAAAUACUCAUCAACUGACAUCGAAAUAAGUGAAUAGGUGAGACCCAUACCUGCCAUGCAAGCAAUUAACGGAAAUUUUGAUGUCAAAUUUAACACCGGAACCAAAUUGCAAAUAAUUGGAAAGCUUAAGGUAUGUAAUAAUUAAAAUUAAGAGUAGGGACAAGCAUGCCUUAAGAGUAAGAGUUCAGGGUACUAAUCGAAAUUAACCCUAAUAGAAAUGUAGUAACUUCAUUCCGUUGAACCUCUUUCAAAAUCUGCAAACAACAAGAAGCCCCUUUCAGACUCCGCUACCCAGUAGUAACAUUUUGAGUGUGAACAGAAAACUACAGCUACUUUCUUGCAUAAGAUAUACAGGUCCAAGAUACAAACCAGAAUACAGGGGCCUCAACAGUUAGUCGACAUAUGCAUCAAAAUGUUCUUAAAUCAACCGCCUCGUUUUAGCCUUUUUAUUCUCUCAAGGGCGCCAAGGUGGCUGUCACCGUCCCUGGUCGCAGCAGCACCAUCUCCGCCCUCAUCUUUUUCAGCCUCCUUUCUCUUGUUAGCCAACUCUCCAAAAACAGCAGAUGGGACCUCCUUUUGUGCAAUUUCAACCCCUUCAUCAUCUUCUGAAUCACUUGCAUCGGGUAGCUCAAUGUCUUCAUGAUUUGCAGCAACCUUAAUCCCCCCGUCCGUCUGUGAUUCUACUCCAGCACUCACAAAGCCCACUUUUCUGUUACCAUCUUUGGUGGUAGUACCGUUUGCCACUGGUGCCAACUGCCUCUCUAAAGCAGCCAUUUCAUCUUCAGGAACUCCAGCCUGUUUCAACUUGUCUUUUGCCUCGUCCAUGUUCAACCUCUGAUCCUUUUGCAUCAUAUACUCGGGUAGAAUAAAGUGUGUCUAUAAGAACAAAAAAACAAAAAGAGAGAGGGAGAUUUGAAAUGAGCAAUUGGGGAAUUCUUUUUCUAAGACCUCAAAAGAACCUCUACCUAGGUUGCUGACAAAAAUUAAGGGUAACAAAUAUUUAAGAUAAAAACAAACCUGGCUAUAGCUUGCAGAAACACUUCGCUUAAUUCGAAGCAUCUCUCGGAAGGUAUCUUCAUUUCCAUGUUGCACCUCAAACUCAUGCCAUUUGUUCCAGAAAUCUACAUCAGACCGUGGAUCCGAAAACUGUGAUGCAAAUAUAUAAACUCCCCGAGCACGAUCAAUUUCUCCUAAGCUCUUCUCAAGCUCAGCAUACUUCAAGCACAUUGUCUUCACAUCUUUGUCUGGAAGACCGGAUUCUAUUGCUUGCUCAUAUAUCUCCCUUGUUUUGGGGAUGCCAAAUAUCUCUGCAGCACGGGCAAUGUAGAUUUCAUACAUGCUCAAUUUCUCAUGGUUUGGAACAGCCUUAGUUGCUUCAUCAUAGACCUUCAUAGCGCGCUUUGCUAGACCAUAAUCCUCCUCCAGCUUUGCAAAUUGAAGAUACAGAGGUUUCUUUGCAUCAGCAGGCGCCUGAAAUACCAUUUUCAGGUUAGUAACACAAUAAAAUAAUGAUGUACAAAGGCAACACUCUAGCAUGUUGAACUCAAACCUAAAAAAGAUUUCCAAGUUGUGAAGAGCGCGCGGACACACACACACACACACACACUAAUACACAUCAGUCAGUAGCAUAACAAUUAUCUGCAGGAUUCUGGGUUGAAGAUAUAUCAGGAAGUGUUUCUACGUUUGAGAUAACAGAACAAUUACAAUACUGAAUUAGUCAAGCUUCUUCUUUUUUUUUAAAAAAAAAAUCCAACUCACGCACUCUAAUAAAAUGUAGUAACAUACUCGAAAGUAGCAGACCAGGACAUAAGAAAAACACACAGAAAACCAAUUUACGAUGAUACCUCUGCGUUUCACCUCAACGGAUGGCUCUGCGGUGGCCCGCCUCAUUAGUUCCAGUGCUCCUUUGAAAUUCUUAUGCCUCAAUUCCAUUUCUGCCCACUCACACCAAAGACUAGCCAAAUUAUCCACUGUCUUGUAGUUCACCUGAACUGCUUUAUCAAAAAUCACUCUUGCAUUUGCAAUAUCUUUGUGAUUCUCGUACAACUUAGCAAACGCAACCCACAACGUAUGGGGCUUCCCCACCGCUUUCAUUGGAUCAACUGUCCUCACCGCCUCUGUGUAAGUAAGUAUCUGCUUUGUGGGAUUGCCCUCAAAGAGCUUCACUCUUCGGUGCCACUGCUCUACAUUAUGGGGAUUUUGUCGUAAAAGAACACUAUUAGCCAGUAUAGGUCUUCUAUCCAUAAGAUGCUCCAAUCGAGCCAACCUCAAAUCUACAUCCUUAUCAUCAUGUAACCAAAACCCAUUUAGCAUUUUCUUUUCAAACUCAGCCAAAGACAAGUUAACAUCCAAUCGAAGAUCUUCUUCCUCCUCAUUUCCAUCCUCUUCUAAUCCCUUUUCUUCUUCCUCCUCUUCAUCACUCAAAUCCACUGUCUCCAUCUUAUGGACAAGCAUACUAUCUUCAAACCCAGCAUAAGAAUCAAAAAUUACACUAAAAUCUCUUACCGUUACCACAGUAGUCAUACCCUCCUCAAAUAUAUCCCUAGCUUUCUCGUGCAAAUUCCUCCUAAUGUAAUAGUCUGCCAGUGAGGUCCAUAACCGUCCCACCUCGUCUGUAAAUUUCCUAAUCCCACCUCUAAUAAUAGCAUCUACAUUGAGGCCUGACACCUCCGUAGCAUGCUUAGUAAGCAAAUCACACAAUUCCAGCCACAGCCUAUGUUUCGUUUUCCCCUUUAUCGAAUAAAACUGAUCAUCAUUCAAAACUGAGGCCAGCCUCUCGGCGGCCUCUUGCCAAAGACUAGAAUUUAUCAAGAACUCAAUGAAAUCUUCAAUAUGGGCAGGGUCAUAUUUCAAAUACCUGCGAUAAACCCGAAGCGAGGUCUCAAUUGGGAUACCGGUUUGGCUUACGAACUUCAGGUACGGGUCCCAAAUGCGGUCGUGCUGCGUCACCGGAAGAGCACACAGAGCUCUGUCGAAGGUCCGGCGAGUCCGAGUGACCAACUUCUGCUCCGUCAAAGUUUGCAAGUACAUAGUCCAAAUUUUAGGCAUUUUGUGCAUAGUAACCAGGGCUCUUUCAAAAGUGUUGUUGAGGGUUUCAUACUGGAAGUGAGUGAUGGGUAAAUUGCGAACAAGCUCGAGGCGUUCGCGAAGGUAAGCGUUCCAAAGCUUGUAGCUCCCAGGAAGGGCCUUGAGUGCUCGCUCGUAGAUUAUAAAACGCUUCUUGAAUGGAGAUUCGGAUCGAGCGAUGAGGUAACGCCACCAUAGCUUGAGGCUAAAGGGGUUUCGGAGAAGCUCUUCUUCGUAAAGAAGGUCGUCUUGGGAUGGGUAUAAUUCCUGAGAGAUCGACAUGGCCGAAGUUGCAGACAUAAGAGUUGAUAAUCCCUGGGAAAAGUUUGGGUAUACAAUAAUCGGGAAUUUUGGGUUUGAAAAAACCCUAAAUAUGAGGGUGGAUAGGAGGGAACACAAGCUUCGAUCUACUGUUAACCGGAAUUGGAAUUUGUUACGAAAGAUAAAUUAUUAUUUUUUGUUAUGGCGAAAGAUAAAUAAUUAAGAAAAUAUGUGUACUUUUCUUCUCACUCCAUUCAUAGAGUUGGAAUUUUUAUUUUUUAUUUGCCUAUGUAGAAAUAGGAUUACAUGGAUUGCCGCAAAAAAAAUCCUUACUUGACAUGGAAUACAACUCUAUGAAUGCAUUUUCCUCCGUUUAUUAGGGUUUUCGUGGAACUUUAUCUUUAAUGAGUCGGGUAUAAAAUAUAAAAAUCGAGUAAUAAGACAAAUGUGAUAAAUUUUUCAUGUAUAGAUCCCCUACCUAAACCCUCCUUGUUCAAUCUAUUUUAAUAGUUGGUAUCAUUAUUCUUCAUUUAGAUUUAUACUAUUAACGUUGUAGUUUUGGUAGGCACUAAUUUAGCUAACAAGUUCAUAUUUUAUAUUAGAUUGAUCUAUAUGUUGGGCUCAUAAUACUUCUUUCAAGUUCUAAAAAAUUUGAUAUUUUUGUUAUGGGGCGAGUCGAAAAACCUAAUCCAACGAAAGUGAAGACGAGAAUCCACAAUUUGAAUAUUGCAAAGAUAUAAGUAGGCAUAACGAGAAAAUACUUGAUGAGGAUGGGAAUAUAAAUGGCAUACUCGCUCCAAUUUGCGUGAUUAGCAUCCCUAAAUGUACCUAUUUUGACCCCAAAAAAAAUGCGACUCUAAGAAUUAUUGUUCUGGGCUAAAAGCCCAUUAAGAUUAGGCCCAUUUGGAAGCCAACCAAAACAAAACCAUAUUCUAUGUUCUAAAUGGGCCUAUGGAGGUCCAUGAUGAUAAUGUUCAGAAAGUGACGUAAACGACGCGGUCUGGGAAACAGAGAAAAGAAAGAAGGCCUUGUCGCUUUCCAACUGCUACACGGAGAUGCCGUAAGCAGCAACAAUCAUAUACGCUAACGCACACGCAACCUCCCUCUCUCUCUCUCUUCUCUCUCUUUUGUGUCAUAAUAUCAGACGUUCUUCCUCUUCUUCUCCGAGACGGAUAUACAACGCUCUGUGGCGCGACCCCUCUCUCGAGUUUUUUUCUUUUUUCUUUUUCUUUUUGUAAUUUCAGCUACCCACCUCAGGAGCAGCCCCAAGCUCUCUCCUUUUCUCUAUCCGAGUUUCUCUUUGGUAAUCUCUCAGCUCUCGGAUUUAUGUUACAUUUCUGAGCUCGUUUCACUUUGUGCUGAUUUAUGCUGGCGGUGUUGUUUGGAUGUUGUAAUUCCGUUUUUUUUUCUUUUUAAUCUGCGGGCAUGGCCUCUUGAGAUGAGAAAGCCAUGGCGUCCAUGUUUUCGCAGUUGAGAUUGGGGGCCAUGGCUUUCAUGUUUACAUAGUGAGACUAAUUUGCUUUUCGGUGUGUGUUUCUCUUGCCAAUUUAAGAUACUAUUUGGUUUGGUGUACUGGGUAUGCCAUGGAUGUGUUUUUUCUUUCGUCAAUUUUCUGUGAAGACUUAAACAUUCAUGUAUAUUUAGGUUCCAGAUGAACUAAGGUCUCUCUUAGAUUUCAGAGUUUUUAUUGAGCAUAAUGGAGUCCAAGACAUUAUACCUAUGUUUGUGGUGCUCAAGCUGAAAUAUUUAUAUGUAGGGUGAGAUUUUGAAAAUCAGGGUAGUUUUCUUGGUGUGUGUUUUAGGUUGUGAUCUGGAACUUUUCGCUGUCUAGCUAGUUCCAUUAUUCUAGUAUGCUUCUUACUUGCUAGGAUUAUACAUUUUGCUUUGGUUUUCCCAUGACUUGGAUAAAAUUAGAGACCUAUGUUUGACAUCUUUGUUCUCUGGCCAAAAGGAAAAGAAUAUAAAUCAUCAUUUUUCUUAAAUAAAGAAGUCGAUCCAUAUCUAAGCUAAAUUUUGCAACACACUUUAUUGACUGUAGUUUUCUGUUUUGUAGGCUAGUUAACUGUAAUUCUGACCAUCAAAGACAACUGUAAUUUAUGGUAUGUUAUGAAUCUUUGUACUGAACUUUGUUCUGUUAAAUUAUGUUGAUUUUCUGAGAUGCUAUGAUCUUCUUUUCUCUUUCUGGUUGUUGCGUGAGGGAUAAAUUCUCAUACCUUUUUUUUUUUUUCUUUGUAUGCAAUUCUGUCUUCAGUGAAUAAGGUUCUCUCUCCUUUGCGCGUGUCCCGUUCUCUUCUCCAAUCCUCCACAUACACAAAUCUACCUGAGAUUCUUCUUUUCUAACCCAAAGAAGUAUAUCCAUACACAUUAGUAAAAUGGAGGUCAAGCUGGCGAAUGACAAGCGUGAAAGAGAAAUGUAUGAUAGUUUUGCUGAACUUUACGCCAUUAUAAAGACCACCGAGAAGCUUGAAAAGGCAUAUAUUCGUGAUGUGAUCUCUUCGUCAGCGUAUGAGACUGAAUGCCAAAAGCUCAUUGCCCACUUUAAGACUUUGGCUUCCACGCUUAAAGACACCAUCCCAAGCAUCGAGCGAUUUGCAGAAACAUACAAGAUGGACUGCCCAGCAGCUAUAAACCGCCUUGUGACCUCAGGGGUGCCUGCCACAGUGGAGCAUCGGGCUGCUGCAGCUGCCUCCAUGACUUCCUCAGCUGCUGCUGUGGCAGAAUGCACACAGAAUUUCAUCACUGCAAUGGACUCAUUGAAGCUGAACAUGGUUGCAGUUGAUCAGGUGCACCCGCUGCUCUCGGACCUUUUAACGUCUCUGGGUAAGUUGACCUUUCUGCCACCAGACUUUUUGGGGAAGGUGAAGUUGAAGGAGUGGAUUGCAAGAUUAUCAAAGAUGGGAGCGGCCGAUGAGUUGACAGAGCAGCAGUCUAGGCAGCUUCACUUUGAUCUUGAGUCGUCCUACAACUCAUUUAUGGCAGCUUUGCCAAACUAUGGUACUUGACACAGCUACUUGCAAGAACCUCAGUGAUCUCUCAGAAGGGAUUUACUAAUUUUCUACUGCAUAUAUAAUAUUUUGGGUAUGCCUGAGUUCUGAACUUAGUAAUUAGUAUUGAUAUUUUGUGUCAAUCAUGCCAGAUAUGAUUUUCAAGCUACAUUGUAGGAAAUACUUCAAUUUGGUUUCAUGAUUCUUAAUGGUAUAUGAUCUCAGUGGCUUGAUUGAAUGAAAUGCUCAAUAUCAGGCCAUUUUGUGAAAGCAAAUUGUUUGAUGGAUGAGUGGCUGUCCUCUGUACAAAAAUGAAUAGUUUUUCUACCUUUUUCUUAUUGUGCCUUAAGUUAACAACCACAGGCUUCUCGAAAUCUGAGUUUGGUUAGGUGCACCAGACUGGGGCCUUAUUCUAUUAAACUAGCGUUAGAAUCUUAGAUAGGUGCACUAAUUGUGGCCUUAUUUGUGUUGUUUUAAUGCUGAUAGGAAUGUUGGUUGUAAUAUUAAGGGGUCAUAGUGAGCGCCUUAGAUGAGUCCCCAUCUUUUAGCCGUUGGAUCAAAUUGGUUAGUUGUUGGAUCAAGUUGGUUAGUUUGAUCCAACAGUAAAAAGAUAGGACAUCAUCUAAGGGUCUUAGAAGGCCCUCACUAUAGAAUAACCCUGUAAUAUUAAAGAUCAGAAUAUAUAUAGCUCAGCCCAACCGUUCUCUCUUAAUAGAUUCAUCAAACUCAAAAGGGUGCACAACUUUAACAUUUGAGAGUCUUGGACAAAUUGUAAGAAACUGGGAUUGUAAGAAAUUGGGAAGGGGGAAGGGGGAAGGGGGAAGGGGGGAGGAGGGGGUCAUUCAUAGAAAGCUUAUUUAUGUACAUGCCUCCUAUGCUUUCAAAGUUGUCUCAGAUUACCACAUGUUCUUUGAAACGUCUCAAAAUACCACAUACACUUUUAAUAAUAGUCUCAUGUUACCUGUUCCGCCUCCUAUUAAGAGAAGUUCUAUUAUGUGAUGUGGCCCCCACUUCUUGUGGUAUGGGUCUUCUUCUUCUUCUUCUUCUUCUUCUUCUUUCAGACGAACCAAUUCCAAUAAUCUCCUUCCACCCAAAGCCCAAUCCACAAUUUCCAUCCAUGCCCUUUUGGUCUUCAUCACCCUCCUUCUCUUCACCCUCUCAACCUUUGAACCUACAACCAAGCCUCACCCACUCAUCACAAUAGCCUCCAGAAGAUUUCUCUUCCAAAAAAAUCUCAACCUACCACCAACACAGACCCCAAAUUACUCAACAAACUCACCACGUAACGGAACAUCUCUUAAUACUGAUGGAAUAGGUAACGUGAGACAGUUAUUAAAAGUAUAUGUGGUAUUUUGAGACGUUUCAAAGAACAUGUGGUAAUCUAAGACAACUUUGAAAGCACAUGAGGCAUGUACAUAAAUAAGCCUUCAUAGAAUGAGAUAAAAAUCAAUUACAAUAAUGUCUACAACCCUCGCAUAAGAAUUUCAUGUAUCUACCCCAUCUGCAAAUUUGGUCCCUUUCAUGAUUGGUGGCCCGAGAGACUCAAAAGCUUAAAGAUGCCCAAAUGUGAAUGAACGAACCCAUUGAACCUCCAUAUCUAAGUGUGCUUUAUUUUUGUGUCACAAAUGGAGUUUGUGAGACAUUGAAACAUCACCCCUCGAGAACCAAAAUUUUUUAUUUAUGUAAUUUUUUUUUUUUGUAUCUGAACUCGUGCAAGAUCUAACUAUGUUCCUAUUGUUAGAAUCAGAAUAAAUGCAUGCAUUCAGAGUUCCAAUUAGAACAAAGUAAAAGUCUCCCCCAUUUUCAUCUUCCUACAACAUAUGAGGCAAAACUUGAAUCAAAAUCGGAAUUAGGAGGAGAAUGACGAGGAUUAUUCCAAGAAUUAUAGCAAUGCAUGUCCACUUCCUUGAUUUCUUCUGCUGUUCUUUGGCCUCUUGAAGAUUGUCGGUGCCGCGUCUGACAAACGAGCUAGCAUGCAUGACAUGGCUCUCAAUGUCAUUGAGUUGGUGACCCUGUGCUUCAACCAGAGCAGCCAUGUCCAAGAAUAUCUGAUGGAGCUCAAUCAAAUUCUUCUCAAUCUCCUUCACAGCAUCAUGUCUUUCUUGCAUUUCUGAUAUGGUGUCCAAAAUCUGACCUCUCCCCUGUUCUUGAAUAGCCUUCUGCAGAAAGCUCUCACUUUCUCCACUCGAUAUCAAAUUUUCGAUAGUUUCCUCACUCGCUUUCUCUCCGGUUAUAGUAAAAUACCUGCGUUCUAUUGUUUCUUUAUAUUCAGAUGUCAUUCUACCUCUCAAUCCCUGAAAGUCAUCCAUCAUGUCCUUGAGUUUCUUCCCCAAACCACUAACCACUGAGGUCCUGGUUCGAUCCGCGGAGGAGCCAGGGCCACAACCAGGAAGGUUUCUGUGAGUUGCGUUGGAACGCUCCAAACCUUCAAGCUUUCCCUUUAUGAUUUUGACCUUCUUAAGGACCUGCUCGACAUCCAAGUCCAUGCGGGUUCGGAGCUCUUUCAUGGUUUUAGCAUUGUGCACAGUCUUGCUCUCUUCAUUGGCAUCUUGUAGCUGCUUGUACAGCUUAUCAACCUGUCUCAUGUCCUCCUUCACAUUCUCGACAUCUUCGAAGAACUUGUCAAGAUUAACAGUCUCCUUCCCGGCCUCCAUAUCGUCCAGGUAGGCCUGCUGUUUCAGGUCAGUGUAUUUCUUGAACGAGCUCGAAAAUAAGUCGUUCAUCUUGGCGUGAUGAUGAUAUUAUGUAUCACUCACUCUUGUUGAUCUUCUGCAAAAUGGGUUUUCCUUCCUUUUCUUUAUGUCUGUGAAAAAAUUGAGUGGACAACAAACAAAAAGUGCAUUAAAAACCAUGCAUAUAAUUAAGCUAAGCUAAUCAAAUCUCUCCUUCAUGUGUUCAAAGCGUCUGUGUUUUUGAUGGGGGUUUGGGGCUUCUGCAUCCUCCUCUGCAUCACAUUGAUGAGGAGGAAGACAAAGGAGGUGACAAAAGCAGAAGCUGUCCCCAAGAUAUGGACGAAAGUAGAAGUUUCCUUAUUUUCGGUGAGGGUGGAUGCAUUUGCGGCUUUGGAUUAAUUGCAUAUGAGGACCACCCAAAUUAAGUUAAUUAAACCUGUAAGGCCGUUUAAGGAUGGGUGUACAGUGGCUCAUGGGUUAGUUAACAGGUAGCUUCCUAUUUUUUUUCAUCUGUUAUAAAAAGGAUAUAUAGUUCGGUUGACUUGGUCGUACAUUUCUCUCCUCCCAAUCAUAAAAGAGACUGCUAGUCUGGUAAAGAUAUUUGUGGAUCAUAGUGUAACCCACUUUUCUGAACCUGCCCUAAUUAUAAAUGGAUAGCAACAAGUAGUUAUAAUGAACCAUUUUGUAUUUGCAAACUGAUGAUUAAUAGGCCCAUAAAGACAAAAACCCAAGGAUGGAAAUAAAAUCAGAUCCAAAAUAAGCCGAAGUUGCCCAUCUAGAUUUACGAGUAAUUUAUCACUCAUCAUAAAAAAUAAAAAAAAUAAAAAAAAAGACCUACGAGUAAUUAUAGUGUAGUACAGUAAUACAUAACAGAGAUAGAUUCACUACCAUGUAAUUUAUGAAGAAACCAAAAUAAAAUAAUUCAGCUUGGACCACUUCAAGGGAAGUUUGUUCAAAUAUAUAUAUACACAUAAAAAUAAACAAAACAAAAUGAGGUGAAUGCAAUUUCUAUUUUACUCGGCCGGAAAAGGAGAUAUUUAGUUACAUCCUCAAAGUCAUUGCAUCAAGGCAGCGAGGUGAGCUUCUAAAAUGAAACUAAAUAGCUUCAACCUGCCACCCACUUCAGUUGCAUUUAUCGUUUCCGUAUUAAAAAUAAUAAGGCUUUAAUGUCCGCUUAAUUUUACUUUAGAGACGACAACAUUUGCAGAAUCACAUUAUAGUUUCUCAAUCAAGUUGCCCUCUUCCCACCUCUCUUCUUUAUGUACAAACCUGAAGAUGCGAGAUCCCAUGUGGAUGAAUGUACAACAAAACUAUCUCCAGUUCGGAGCAACAGCCCCACGUUGCUGAUGACUGACAUAUCAUUGUACAGAACAAUGCACUAAUGUUAUCCCGUCGCAGUCAUGGAUGCUGAUGCCUUAAUGGAUAAAGUUGCAGGACAGUCGUUGCCACCAUCAUGAUUGCUACUUCCGAGGGUUACACCAUUGCUGAGGGGUUCCCCCCCUCCGGCUUCACCUCCAACUUGCUGUGACCGAUUGCCUGAUGAAUUUUCACUGCCACCAGAACUUGACAAUCUCUGUUGCUUGAGAUACCUUUCUGUGGCAUCUUGGAGCAACUUCAUCAUGCUGCCAGAAUCGGAGCCAGGUGACAGCUCUUCCUCCCGCUCUGGCUGGAUAUUCAGGUCAAUUUGGCCUUUAAAAGGUGGGGUUGAGGAUUUCGUCCUGUUAAGGUCAUCAUCAGAAAGUUCAAGGACCUCCUUUUUCUGGUUUGGACUACUGCUUCCUGCGUUACAACAUAUGGGGGUGUCGUCGUCUACUUUAUCAAUCACUACUAAUUGCUGCUGCUGCUGCUUUUUGCGUGUACUUUCCGCUUCUUUUUCUGAUUGCUUCUUCUCACGCCGCAUCAUUAAUGUACGGAAACGGCGCUUCACUGUUAAGCAUACAUUACAGGUGCAGGUUUGCUUGUGUUUUGGACCCUUCCCACUGGGGGGUUGGAUGCAGACAAUGCAUGAGCAUCCAGGUCUAUGUCGGGGAUGCUUUGUGGUGGCUUGGGCUGAUGCUGGGAGUGACUCACCCUCUCCCAAGAUAGCGAGGUUUGCAAGUGUGUCGAGCCCUUCCAGAGCUUCAAUGUUAUCUGGGUCCUGUUUAGCAGCCUUCAUUUUCUUGGAAGUAACUGCCCAAGCAGAAUAUAAAAAAACAAUUACAAAUUGAUAAUUUGGAAUGAUAAGCACGUGUAUAUGAUCUAAGAGAAAAAAAAAAUCAAGUAUGAAAGGAAAGAACCAUUUUAAACAUACGCAGGCAAACAUAAGAGAACGGGACCCAAAGCCAAGUUAUGACACAUUACUCAAUGAGCUCUGGAUUACAAUAAUUGUCUCAAGCAAUUCAUACCUGUACUAUGGGAAGGUAGAAGAUCUUCAAGCUGUUCUGUUGUCAAAUCUUGCGCUGCUGAACACGAAGAUCUGGUAGAUAAUUUUUAACACAUAAAAUGUAGUUUAUCCAUAUGUGCACGUCCUUGGAGUUCAUAUCAAUUUAAGGUGAACUUACAGAAAAUGUCCAUUUUACCUUUCAGGGUCCCAUGAAUUAUCAGAACAAGUCCAUUUUGAGGGUAGAAGUGCAUUCACAGGCAGUUUGCGCCAUUUGAAACAAUCUUCGCAUUGAGCCCAUUGAAUCUUCUCACUGAGAAGAACGGAAAAAAUCAUUAGAUAUGGAGAUUAACAGAUAGAAUUAUAAUAAAAUAAAAUAAAAAGCUUCAGGGUAAAGAAUACACAGGGAAAGUAACUCUUCCGAUUCAUUCUAGGCAUUAAAACAUGCUCCAUAUGUGAAGACCAAGACAAGGUCCAGAAAGGAGGAAACCCCAAAUACUGUCUUCCAUGCAUGGUACAAGUUGGAGACACCAUUUAACCAAGAUUUUUUUUUCUAAUUGAAAAAACAGCAUUUUCUUACCUUGAAGAGUACAAGGCAAAUCAGUGAAAACAAAAAGCAUACCAUGUAUAAUCUAACAAGAAGAAAAUAACCAGACAAACCUAAAAAAAUCCCCAUUAGGCUCUUCAAAAUAUUUCAGAAAUCUAAAAUAAUUAUAAAAAUUUCACCCAGCAGCAGCACCUAGGCACAAAAUUUUUUGAACCACUUAUCUGACCCACAAACUUAUCAAUAAAUUUUCUCGAUAAAUAUGCAAAAGUUAACUAAAGCAUUAAAAAGUAACACAGAAAACUAAUAUAGAAGUCUUCAGAAACAGAUCUUAGCACUAAAGAUGAUUUACCCUGCACUGCCCGUAGCAUAAAUUGUUGGCAUCCCAAGAAUUGGAGCAUCCUGUAAGAAAUAGCAGAUGUCAGAAUCCAUAAUGGAGGGAUCCCAACCCUAUAUUGAACAUGAUAACAUAGUUAGAAGACACAACACAUGAAAAACUACAAAGAUGCAAUGAAAGAUGUAACACUGCCAUAUGAGCACCAAGAGGUAUUUCCCGCUUUAUGAGAGGAAGCUUUGAUUCAACAUUUGACAUGCGGUUUUUGGGUCGGGACGGUUGGGAAAUGGGUGAGGGCAGCCCUCAUUAUAUAACCCGCUCAAGUCAUUCAGCCAAAAAAUGAAUAGAGGUAUUCACAACUUGUAACAAGUUUGGUAAAGACCCAAACCAAGAGAAGGAUUCUUGCAUCCAGAAAAGAAGAGAGGGGAAUCACUAGCAGACCAGAAAACUCUACAAGUAUAAGAUCACAAGCUUUUAUAAAGUAAUAUUUUCAAAAGCCACUUUGGAAUUAUUCAAGUAAAAGCUGUCUGAAAUAAUUAAUUAAUUAUUUAGUUUUGGAAGUCAGUAUCGAAAUGGCAUACAAAUAAAGUGUAUCAAUGUAGUUCCAUCAUAACAAGAUACGAUACUAAGAAUUCUUCACGGUUCUCAUCACAAGAUACAAAAGUUAUUGUACCUCUCGUUAUUUUCUGGGGGCACUUAGCAAUUGUGAUCUAUUAGAAAACAAAUCCAUGUAACAGUUGUGGUCAAAGGGAAAGAACACAGACGUCAUAGUGAAUUGGAUUGCACACACACAUCAGAGUGAUAGAACAAGAAAAAUUAUGAGCAACAUUUGGCAAUGUGAAUCCUAUCAAAAAAGGAAUCAUAAUUAACUAUGUACCUCAUAUUCCUCAAACUCAAAGCCUUCAAUCACCACAACAGUAGGUAUAUGGUUAGCAGGAGCGCGAAGCAGGCCUUGAGCUUCUUCCCAUGUUAACUUCAGUUCUAUCAGGUCUUCAUUUUCAAUUCUCAGGCGCUUACUCUUAGAACCCAAGGUACUGUUCUUCCUUUUUCUAGAGAUCAAAGACUUAGAUCCCAGUGCUUCUUUUGCUAUGUAACCAGACUUAUCAACUUUAGACCAUGAGCUAGGAUCUGCCAAUUCAGCCUGGUUCAUUGAUGAAAAUCUAGGUGAUUCUGUACCAUUUUUAAUACGACAUCUGAACCAUUUUUUAUAUGACAAAUAUUGAAAAGACUUAACCAGAAUUAGUUUCUGUUAUACUAACAUCUGCAAGGGCUGAAACUCCAUUGCUUGCCUUGUUUGUCUCGUUUUCCUAACAAGCAAACAUAAAGUAAAAGAAAACGAAGCCUUAGUAGUAGACCUUACAGAAAACCAAAUGCAAAGAUCCAUAUAAAGGAACAAAAAUGCAUGCAACUAAAAUUAUCAAGUAAUUCAAAGCAGACUCAGAAACAAAACACCAUGGUCAUCCAACUUAACUGAAGUGCAUACUGGAAAUAUAAAAUACUGCCUUUUAAUAUGGUUACCAGUUGCCAUUUAUCCACUUAAAUCAAGCAUAUAUUGCCAAUCACAACUAAAAAAAUAGUCACAAGGAAAUAGGUGUUGAGAAGCAAAAAACCUGAUCAGAUGGUGGGGCAGUUGAAGCCUUUCUGAACCCCAUAACCAAUUUCCCUUCUGGCUCCAAUCGACUAAAGGUUACUGAUAAAACAGAAUAACUCUUCAGUGCCAAAGUGAGGGAACAAAGUAACAAGAUGGAUUAAAUCAUAGUAAGCUGACAACACACACAGUAGGGAAAUUACUAAUACACACACAGAUAUAUAUAUAUAUAUAUAGGGGCAUGAAAACAAGAAAUUACAUAAGGAAACAUGGAAGACACUCUUCGAGAGCAUAAUAAGCCAAAUAAAUGGAUAAUGCAAGAAUCCAGAAAACUAAUAAGAUUGAACUAAAUCCAAAAGAACUCCAUAAAUAAUUGAUGUCAGAGUCCUCGCCAAGUUUAAGCAUGAACAAGGUACCAUUCAAUAGAAAUUUCUCCAGUGAUAUAAGAUCAUUACCUAUGUCGCCUGCCUGCAAUUGCAUGGACUGUAUGCACGGAGUAACCCCCUCCAGAACAUACAUUCUGCUAUUAUUGUUGGGCCAGAAACGAAACUGAAAUACCCAUUCCUUGCCUUUUGAAUCCUGAACUUUAAGAGGUAACCCUUCAGGCUGAGAAAUUGGAGGAAAGUAGGCCUGUCUCGUAGGGAAAUAAUGUUAAUUUAUUAUGAAAUAAUAAACUGUGUCAAGCUAAAACUUAUAAGACAGAUUCAGAAAAUAAUCAAAUAUAUAAUAUAGCUCAUGCUAAUUCUUUCCAUUAUGCCUCAAGAAGCCAAGUGCCAGGUCCAACUGAGAAAACAUGAAGACACACCUCUGCACAUUUUUUUGGCAACACCAGACGUCCAAUCCGCCCAGCAUCACUCGCACUUAACAUUUUCUCGAAUAAUGGAGUUAUUACAGAAUUUUUACUUAAACAUGGUUAAGGUUUACAGUAUGUAAGAUUCAAGGCACAACAAAGUUUAAGAAGAGCCAUGACCACUAUACAAACAGCCUUAACAUUUAUAAUAUUAAAACAUAUACAACAUUGUCUUUUUAGAGAAAGGAAAUAAAAAGAUAUUGAAUCAAAGGAUACUCUCCAGAUAUUUGCUGUAGCUCUUGAUCAGUAAAUCUAGGCCAGUACCGUGGAAGUAACUGAUUUCUUCCCCGGGCAUCCGCUCGAGGCCUUGCAUUGCGGAUCUGAGUAUCAGCAGAUGAUUCAACUCCAUUCUGUAAAUUACCAUUAAACUGCUUUGCCAAAGGAAGGGUUGGCCGCAAAUUAGUUCCAGUAACCCCCACUUGAGCAUUUGUUUCACUCACAGAUCCAUAUGGACCAAAUUGUGGAGUAGAAGGGUCCUCCUUCAAAGAGGCAGACUGCUGAGAUAUAUUUAAACAUGAACUACUUUGCUCCUCGCGGUUAUUUCCUACAACAAAAUGUUGACAACACUUUAACAGCCAUCUACCUACAGCUUGGAAACAGAAAUGUGGCAAGUUGGCAUAAUAUUUCACACUAGCUUAUGUGCCAUGAAAGAGUCCAUACCUGGCUUCCCGUUUUCAAGACUUUCUUGUGUGCCCAUAGUGAGGUUAACUUUCAUUAGUCUUUCAGAAAAAUCCUCUACUUUCUUCUUUUCCAUGGAGGAUACAAAUAUUCUUUCACUGGCAUUAAGUUUGUUAAUCCCAGUUGAAACAUCAACUUCAUAUGGCACCCUCGUAUGCAACUCAGAUGAAGGAAUUGAAGAAUUGAAUAAACUGGGUGCUUGCCUCCAUGGUACAGGACCAGAUCCAGCCAAAUGAGUCCAAUUUUUGACAGACAGGUCCUUAAGUCUCUCAGAUAAAGGUGAAUGGAAGAACAUAGAUGUUGGCCAUGCUGGAUUUGGUGUCUGUUCAACAACAGAAAAUAACACGGUUGUGGUACGUUCAAGGAACAUAACAUAACUAAGAUAAACAAAGGUUGAUAUGGCAGAAUACUGACAAUUGAAACAUACAAUAUUGAAGUUUUGUUAUUUAAAAUUUUAAACAAUCCCUACCAAAACAAAAUUUUUCCUUGCACAUGUCAUGCACUCAACUCCUCCAGGAUCCAACAAUGUAAAUGCAUGACUUGAAACAAUGCAUCCACAAUGAACCCGCUGCAAAAGAAGACUAACCAAAUUAACAUUCAUACUAGAAAUCCAAAACUAAAGUCAGUUAAUCUAAUACAACAUUAAUUAUAACACUAAACGUUUAUGCUAUAAAGGAUACAAAUUAGACAGCAUAAACUAUCUACUGACCUUCCCACAAGACUCGCAGCAUCUCCAACCAGCGGCAUUCAUAUGGAAAGUCUCACAGAAUCUUCCUUCCUCAUAAGCAAGACUUAGAUCACACAAAAAAGGGAAAAGCUAUCUGUCAGUGUAAUCUACAAAGCGUACAAUAUUCUAGCUUAGAACUUGAAAGAUGAAUGAAGAUUAAGGUAGAUGAAUCACCGGAUACAGUCAAGUUGUGAUCUAUAUAGCCAGUUGAAAUUCUAACGUGUUUUAAAAUGAAUUCAACAGGCAAUAGCAUUUCCUUGCCAUCCUUACUUCCUUAAUUAACAAUAAGUAUCCGAACUGACUCAAUAACUGGUAAUUAAGCUUGAAAAGUUGGGAAACCUAACAAAAUAAAUUCGUUCUCCCAAGUAAUUCUGCACCUUGACACCAUAGGCAGACCUUCCAUAUGCCUAGUGGGGGCAACGGCUCCCAUGGAACAAAUAUUUAAUUUUACUUUUUUGUCAUAAUUUUUCUGACAUAUAUACAUCUUUUCUGAUUGCGAACACAAACUUCCAUUACCAUUAGAUGCCGUGGAUAUUUGAUUAAUUUGAUUGAUUCAAAUGGUCAAACUCUCACAUGAACCUACCAUAUUUUGUCAAUUAACCCAAAAAAAGAAGAAAAAUAAUCAUUUUGCAGUUUCAUUCUUUCUUUUUAUGGAUUUCAUUGCAUCUCUCUAAGUUUUUUUAGCCUACAAAGCUCUCAACAAGAGCUCCAACUACCUUAAGCUACUCUACAUUUUCACCUUCAUGUCCUACGAUAUCCCAAGAAAUACAGACAAACAAAACAGAAAGGAUUGUAAUAUUGCAUGUUCAAGAGAACUACUUAUAUUAAGGCAAGCAUAGGCAUUGCAGGUUGCAUUCACAAAAAAUAAGUACCAGCAGGUUAGGCUUAAUUAAAAAGAAUUUCAUGAGCAAAACUGUAUAUGAACAUUUAACCAAAGGGAAAAAAAUAUUCCCAAAACCAAGUGAAGCAACAAAAUUGUUUCAUAAACAUCACACUAAAGCAUCCGUUGAAUUCAAUGGAGCAGUUAAAACAAAGAAUCUUUUAAUCUUUCCCCUAAAUUAAAUUAUAGUUUCUCUCCAAACUCCUACUUCACCAAGCAGUUCAGCUCAGCACUAAUCGAAAUGACAGCUCCCGCGCAUUUACCUAAAGGAGCCAACCUAUUCAGCGCCCUCAAUCAAAUUUGAAAGAAUAAGAAGAAAACGGAGGUAAAGCCAGUGUUCCCAAACUACCCUUUUUUCAAAAGCCCAAUCUCGUUCUCGAAACUAGAGCAUAACGCCACGACUUCCUCCAAAUUUAGUAAAUUCCCCCCCAAAAACCCACUACUAAAACCCUAAACUCGAUCUCAAAUCGAUCAAUCCAACUCGAAACGACGCAAAUGAAGCCGUGACUUGAAACCAAAAAAAAACACUGAACCAGUUCAAAUUAACAGAUUUUGGAAAAAACUAAAAAAACAAAACAAAAUGCUUGGCUUACUAGCAUCGAUCGCAUAGCUCAGCAUACUCUCCCGUACGUAGCCGCCAGCCCUUUCUCGGAUGCUCCGAUUUCAAUUCCUUGCACUCGGAAUUGUAGCAGACCUUGGAAGACGACGACGACAUCGAAGAAGCUCCACAUACAAGAAACUAAAACCCUAGAAAUUAAGCAGCGGAUGAGUUAUAGAGAGAGAAAAUAGAGCGAGAGAGAGAGAGCAGUAUAGAUAUCGAAAUACAGUGGUUUGUUUCGGCCUGAUCUGUACGUAAUCAUAUAGAGCGAGAGAGAGAGACAGAGACAGAGGAGUUGGAGAGGGUUUUAGAGAGAGAUAGAAAGAAAGAAAGAAAAUGUAUUUAUUUCUGGAAGUGAGAGAAAAUAAUUAAAUAAAUAAAUGCGUGAAAAUUAUAUUUAAGACUUUUCCUUUUUUUGUUGAAAAAUAUUUAACACUUAAAAAGAAGCUUUAAAAACACGUCCAGUCGUUUUGACCCCCAAAAAAAAAAAACACGUCCAGUCGUGGCCUUAUGUUCGGCGUCGUCGUUUCUCUCUCAAACCUUUUUUUUUUUUUUUUUGGUUUUAAUUUUUUUAAGUUUCUAAUAAUAUCUAAUGUCGUUGUCGUCGCGGCUUUGAAUAAAAAAUUCCCAUUUUAUCUGCAAAAGCUACUGACCUGUAUGCCCACCUGAGCUAACGAGACAGGGGCGUUUUAGUAAUUUGGAGCUAAGUUGGAUAGAGAGAGCGAGUUUAGAAAUUUGUUUACUCACGAGAGUAGGGAGUUUUAGUCGCUUACAAGGUGUGGGUGAUGUGGGGUAUAAUCUGAUGCAUGGCCCGCUAAAGGUCAUGCAAUCACGUAACGCCUACUUCUCUUGCCUUGUUGUUGGUUUGACAUGUCUUCCAUUCGUUAAUGUUUUUACUAUUUAUGGUACUGUUCGGUUUAUGUUGGUUGUUUGUUAUAAAUGAAAAUAUAAUUUUUUUAAAAUAACGUUUACACAGUGUAUUUACACAUAACGGGAGAAGUCAUGAAUCAUAAAAAAGUUAUGAAUAUGGUAGAAAAUAAAUGAGUGAGAUUUUUUAAGUAUUAGAUAUUAUGAAUUUUAAUGUGAAAUUCACAUUCAGCGCAUAAUAGGUAAUUUGCGAUACAAUUUUACAUAUCGAGAGUAUGAUAAAAUAUUAAAUGCUAAAACUUACUUGAUACGAGUGAUGAAUAAUGAUGAAGCUUAGCAAAAAUAUAGUCUGUCUCGGCCACAUCCAUCUAAGCCUAACAAUGUUGUGUUGUUUUCCUUCUUGGUUACUUCUUAUUUCUUCCUAGGAGGAAGCUAACAAGUUUUGCAAUUUAGUGAUCAGACGCCGACGGACAGCCAGCCACAUACACGUCUCCAUAUCCAAUAACAUUUUUGGACACUUAUGUGAAAGAGAUAAGAGGGAUUUUAUUUUUGGACUUUUCACAUGUAAAUCCAUAAAUAAAGACCAAAAUAUAAAUUUAUCUUCUUCUUUUUUUUCCCUUUUGGUUAUAGAUUAAUAUAUAUGCAUGUGAAAAUGAACACAUAUAUAUAUAUAUAGAUAAUACCAAAUAAAUUUUGUACUAGUUUGCCUUAGCUGCCAUCGAUACGAUGCCUUAAUUAGCUUGUUUUCACUAAGCUGUACCGUUACGUACUUAAGAAACAAAAUUAAUAAUAAUAAUAUAUAGGUGAUUGAUAAUUAUGAUUAAGAUAUAGGCUGAAUAAAAGAGGCCAAUUGCUUGGUGGUGGCGUCUCAAGCUAAGCUAGAGUGGCAAUGUAGGUCUAGGAUUCAUCAUACGUGAUUUGUAACAAAACUACAAAAGGGGAAAACCCACUAAGCAAUAAUGUCCACAUAUGCAUGUAUACCACGUAAGCAAGGUAGAUAUAUAUCACAAUUUACAUGCCAAAAACUAGUGUUUGGUUUUCUUGGUUGAUUUUUGACUUUUGAAAUUGAGAUGAAGUGUGAAUGGAAUUUCCAAUGUAAAAAUGUGGGGAGUAUAAAGAGUUUCACAUGUAUUAAGUUAGUUGAUCAACAAUAAUAUGCUCGCUUCCUUGAAUACGAGUUCGAUACAUUUCUUAAAUUAUAACUUUGUCAAGAAAGAAAAUUUCUCCUAACUUAACGAGAGUUGUUAAAACUUUUUUACUUUUUUUCCCUUUUUGUGAAUAAGAGACCUAAGCUGAUUGACAUAUGUAUGCACUGCUCGUCAAUCCCCACUUAUCAUUGACCACAAUUAAUUUUGGAGUUGAAAUGAUUUGGACCACGUUGUAUAUUUGAAUUUGAGUGAACCCUGUAGCAGGCGUGUUGACGCUGCCAUGAUGAACCCCGACGUCAUAUCUAACUUUUAUAUGCAUAUAUAAAUCAUACAUAAAAACCUAUGACUGGUAUUAUUAUGAUAACGUGCCCAUCAUUGUCACAUCUUGCAUCAUAAUGAAUUAUAUUCUAUAAUUGUUAUUAUUAACUUUUCAUCACAUAAUUGUUAUUUUUUUAAUAUUUUGUUUAUGGAGUGAAUGAGUUCUUGUUGUGCACUAGAAUGCUAAUUAUUUAUGUCACAGCCAGAUUUCUCAAUUACCAAAACACAUGGACGACUUUUAUUACAAAGGUCAAUGAUUUAAGCUGUCGAAAACAAUUAUAUGUAAUUAAUUUAAUUACUAGAAUGUCGGCAGGCAUGUUCAACAUGCCUUCUAUAAUUCGUUUCCAGCAUAUUAACAUUAUGAAUUAAUUAGCACUAUGCAAAUACAUUUCGUAUUGGUCAUCUAUAUAUAUUGGAUGCAUUAGGGAACUUGUUUUAUUUCAUGGCUUCGUGCAACCUGCAGUCUCCGUUGAUGGGCUAAAUUUGCAUCUUUCCGUAUUGCCGGCUAGGAAUAUGUGCCAUGUAACAGUGAGGAGGCAUUGCAGAAGGCUGUUUCGAUGCAACCGGUCACAGCUGUGGUUGAAGGCGAGGAAUGACAUUCCGACAUUACUCCAGUGGGGUCUUUUCUGGAGGUUGUGGGAUGUCACUUGACCAAGGUGUUACAGUCGUUGGCUAUGGCAAAAUGAAGACGGCAUUAUUGGUGGGGUGUGCGUGGCCGAGAAUUCCCAAAGAUGUUGAUUUUCCAGAAGGUCUUUGUGGCAUUGCCAUGUAUCAUGCUUGCUAUCCAGUUGUAUUAUAUGCACAUGACUACAUUUUUUUCAAUUGGAUUACUUUUCACAGAGAAUAUGCAUGGCCGAAAAAGAGACAAUUGGCUUUAUGAUCGAGAGCUGAAAUUAAAGAGAUUUGUCACAUGAUAUUUGGGCGGGCAAAAGUGACAUGAGCUUGUUGGCCCUCGUCUCUACAAUGACAGGCUUCCACAAAAAAAAAAAAAAAAAAAAAAAAAAGGUGCGGUUCUUUUCUUGUUGAUGGAAAAAUUACCUGUCUUAGAAAGCAAGUCAGCAAUCUGCAUUCACAUUUGGCCUUAAGGUUUCUAUCAUUGAAAUGCUCAUGUAUAUAUGUAUUUCAGAAGGUGGAAUGAAAUAUGGUCUCUGGAUUUACCAGAGUCGUAUGCAUUUCUGUACUACAAAUGUGUUUCAGAACAAAAGAAAAUUGUAAAAUCAAAGCAAAAGAGUGAAAGACAAACUGCACAUUACUUCGACAGUAAUCUUGGUAGCUGUUACAAAAUCACUUUUCAGCAAGCAACUUGCCGACAAACGAAUCGCUUGUACUCCUUGCAGCUUUGUACGGGUUGGAUUCUGCUUGGUAUCUCGAUGUGUAACCAAAAUCAAAUACUUGAUAAGAAGUAUACUUUAUACCGGGGAAAACAGAGUAGCUAAACCUUGAUCCACAGUUAUUUGGAGUUUAUCAUAGGCCAUCAGCGUCUUUUGGUCACAUUUGUAUGCUCCUUUGCCCCUAGCCAGGACCUCACCAUCUGAGUCUAUAAUCCCUCCCUUUGUGGGGUCCUCAGUGAGAGGACCUGGUUCCAAAAUUAAUGCUUUCACCUGCAGUAUGUCGCGAGAUAAAAGAGAAUGUAAACAGAAGUGGAACGUUAGUAAAGCUUCUUGUAUAUACCAAAAGGCAGACACGGAAUAUUAAAGCUAAACUAAAUGCUUGAUAAUUUGGUUUUUCUGACCUUGAAGUACAUGACAUAUGGUGAAUUGACAUGACUUCCUGUGCUCAACCCUGACAUCAACGAGAGCAAGGAUAGUUUUGGGCAAGCUCUCAUAAUUAUCACAUCUAGGUAACCAUCUGAGAACUGCACACCAACAGGCAAAAAUAGCACAAAUACAUUUAUUCGAGUUUUGAAAAAAUAUCCCUUGACAGUAGUAGCGGAGAAGUAUCUGAAGCAGACGCUAAUCAAUUUUACAGUCCAACCUUGGCAUCAGGCGCUGCCUUUGUGUCUUCACUUCCCCAAGGGACAUUGUGAAGCCAGACUGAAACGAAUGGUCCAUUAAUAGUUCUCCAGUCCAUGUUCUCCAAGUUAAUAUCAGGUCCCUCAUAGCCAUGCUGUCGAAUGUUAACAGGCUCCUCUUGACUUGGACCACAUUUAUUGUGAUGGUUAGUAGGUUCACUAAUGUUGUUGUAACUAGUAGGCUCCCCAUAAAUUUCAAAGCCAGGUGCAGGCACAAAGGAAAUAGAUCCAUUAUAUUGCCUCAAAUGCACAAUUCGUUGAACAGCCUAAAAUAUAGAAACAAUUAGCAUACAAGUGAGCCCGUGCAAAAGGUUUAACAUAUGCCAUAUUCCACCAAGUGUACAAAUGGGACUGUCAAUUGCAUGCAUUUUCCACCAAGAAAUGCUACAAAGAAGAACCCUAUUUAAUUUUGACAUUUUAAGUUUAAAAUCCUUUCGAAAGAAUCGGAUACUACUAGUUUUCAUUAUUUUACAACUGUUGGAGACCUAAUUGUAAUAUAAAUUUGAUUUACCAUAAGGAAUGAUUAAAUUUGAACUCACCUGUUGAAGCAUUCUAUAAUAAUUCCUAUUUGAAGACACUAUUAGGUCCUCAAAAUUUGUACAGCAACUAAUUUAACAAAACAAAUAGUGUUAUACUUGGAAGUUUUGAUUCUAGACUUAAAUUCAAUGCAGUAGUUAAUAAUAAUACCAGGGCAACAAAUCACGUAAAAGGAUACACAAGCACACAAAUAUCUAAACGAGCAAUGGCAUAAACUAGUAAAGAAGAACACAAUAAAUGAGAGGUAAACUUACAUAGAAAUCUAGACGAGCACUUCCCAUCCACCUAUACUUCUCAGACUCAAUGUCAACAUCUGCCACUAAACCUGAAAGCAUAUGAAAAAUCAUAUUACAUUUUUUAAUUGCUAUGAGAAUCAGAUAUUCUAGUAGGAAUUAUUCCAGUACAACUAGAAACUUAUAGAAAUAGCAUAGUAUAUUCCACUAUCUAGUGGUGAUAGUUUUGACUCACCCCAUGCAAGCAUCAAUACACUGAAGAAUUUGGUCUUCCCCUGCCAUAUGGUAGCUACAUCCAGUGAACGCUUAUUCCCUGGCCAUAAAUAAACCACAAAGAAGAAAAUAUCAUUAAUCAAAAGAACUAAGUACUAACAGAUUAGAGGGAGAGAAAGGGAGCAAUGCUAUUAUUUUGAACACAAUAUAAUGAUGCACAGACAGCAUAUGUAACCUCGAAUAAUGGCAAGAAUAGCAUUAGAUGCUGUACAAGGUUCACCAACAGAAUCCAAAAGAGAUUUUGCCAUUCCAUUUCCUGUACCUAAAUGAAGAAACAUCUCUUGUCAGAAAUUAAUCUUGAAAACAACCGACUAAUAACUCUGUUUGUUUUGAUGCACAAAUUAUUACAAUUCACUGCAGUGGCCUCACCUUCCAUAACAUGAAUGAUCUAGAAAUUUUCAGAGAUUUUUAUUUUCUUUCUAAAUAUAAAGAAAAUUGAGAGAGAAAGAGGAUUGAACCUGCAGGAACUACUCCAAGAGGCAUCUUUAUUGCAGCUUCCCAAUCCUCUCUCUCAAGGAGUCCAUUUACUACCUACUAAAAAGUGCAAUGCUUAUAAGAAGAAAAUGGUAAGCUUAAUCUAUGCAUAUGAUCCUGUAGAGAAAUGUACCGGAUUAGCAUGAUAUAAACAUAAAACAAAACCAAAAAUAGAUUCUUUGUUGUGUUUCAGACUAAUAACAUUGCCAGUCAGUUGAUUUGCCACUUUCAGUUAGAGACCGUCGCAGCUUUAAAAACUUGUUAGAACAAAUUACCACUAUAUGUUUACCAAAUUACCAGCAGCUCUGCCCGAAACAAAAAAACAAAAAAAAAUCUAACUCAUUGGAGGAAAACAAAAGGGGUGGUCAUUAUAUAUAAGUAAUUUGAAAUUCCUCGAGGAAGUUGUUUGCACAAUCACAAGAUGUGUGUUUAAUAACUCUGCAACAAAAUCAUAUUCACAUAGCUAGUGAUCAUUCGCAACCAACCUCAACCAAGAUUCCAUCCCCACUAACACAAACAAUGCCAUCAUACUUUGAAAGAUCUAGUGUUUUAGCAACUUCCUUCGCAUGUAGUUGAUAUUGAGUUUCUGAAACAUUGAUUGAAAAAAUAAUUACAAAGGGGAUACAUUAACUUGACCUACAAUCCACAAAUCCAAAACUUGGCACAUCAACUAUUAAGCAAGAUUUUAAAGAAGAUUCCGAACCUUGUAGUGUAAAUUGGAUAUUAGCAUCCUGGAAAAGAGGUUUUACGUGUUCAGCAUAUAUUUUUGAAGCGGAUUUGCUCCCACCAAAUGGAUUCACAAAAACGAAGAGCCUCUUUGGCCGCCCUGUUACAAAGAGAAUAAGUUACCAUCUAUGUUAUCACAAUAAAUGCGAGAAGUAAUAUAAAAAACCAAAAACUGAAUUUCUUUUCAAUAAUUAGGCUUUAAAAAAAAAAAAAAACUUAAGUGGAAUUUAGACUAAAAAGAGCUUCAGUAGCUUAAGUGAACAAAAUUGAAACAAAAACAACGGAAAUUCAAAAUCGCGCAACGGUCAAACAACCCAAAGUCAAAAGUCAAAAGUCAAAACUUCCCAAGCAUUCAUUUCCGUUCCUGCAUUUUCCUAUCAACCAAACAGGACAGAAGCCAAAUAGAGCAUAUGAUGAUUACCCAGAGAAUCAAUGUGUUCGCGGAGCUUCUGGCACCAGAGCCUAUGCGAGUCCUCAGAGAGAGGCUUGAAGACGAAUUCUUUCCUCACCACAGCUCCUCUGCUCGCGACGCAGCAGAUUCCAUCUCCGUCUUCCACUAAGGCUCUGAUCCUAAUCUUCGGACCUUCCGCUGCGAACCCGAGGACCUCCUUCUCCACGAUCAAGCUUCGUUGACCUCUCUCCGACCACCGGAGAACUCCAUCGGCGAAUAGAGUCACCGGAGUGACGGUGCCGUUUAUGAGGACCCGGUCGGAGAGUAUGGGUUGAGCGGACUCGGGUCGGUCCAUGUUGGAUUGUGUUUCAAGUCUUCAAAGAGUCGUUGAGGCUCUUCUUUGGAGUCUGAAGUCUGAUGUAGAAAUUUAUGCGCUCGUUGGCGCAGACGCCGGUUCACUUUGGUUGAGGUUGAAUGAAGCGAACCGGAUGUGAACGAUGCCAACGGAAAUUGGUUUCAUUUACCUAAAAACCUUAAAAAACCGAAAUUAGUUGUUGGGUUGAUUGUAAUUUGCAUCGUUCGGUUUAUUCUAUGAUGCCCACAAAAGAUAAAGAAAUGUAGCGUUGGGGCCAAAGCUGCUUCGACAUCCAUCGAAAAGGAAAGGGAAAAGUAUGUAUAUGCGAUAAAUAAAAUUGUGACUUGUCUCUGCCAACAUAUUUGGUGACAAUGAAAAUGUUUGGAUUAUUAGAAUUAAAGUUAUACACUACUUGCAAAGGAUUCAUUUUUAAGUUCGAGUCUCAGUAUUCAUAUUAUAUGUGUGAAUUUAAUAUAUUAUUACUUUUUUAAUAUAAAAAAUUCUUUAAAAAAAAGGUUAUACACUACUAUUUGAAACAUAUAUAUCACUAGACUAAGAUGUAAUUGGUAAUAGUCCGAUCUUACAUUAUACCAAGUUCAAUUCAAAUCCCGUUUAGUUUUAAAAUAGCAAAUCAAUGUUUCAACGUUGUUAAUGUUACAUCAAUUAGCUCUUAUUUUGGUAGUAAUUCUUUCUUUCCAAUAUUAGAAGAAGUCCAUAAUUUGAAAGAGAUUUUUUAUUUAAACUCCACACUUCUCUUAGUUCAUCUUAUGUUCUAAGUUUAUCCCAACUUUUAAUUUAAAUUUUCACAAUUUCUAAAAAAAUCUCACUAUCUUCCCCACCCUUAAAUACACCCCAGCUGAAAAAAAAAAAAAAAAAAAAAGAAGAAAUUUUCUAUUUAAACCCCACAAGCUACCCUUAGAGGAUGAAGUACGUUCUUAUUUGACAGACACUUGAUUUGUUGACAAUGUUAAUUUAUAGAUUGGUAAAUUUUUGUGUGCAUAAUAUGUGAUUCUUAUUUGAUUUCUACCUCCGAAUGCCAUCCAGAAUUUUUAAACAUUGAAACACUAUGUACUGAAACUUUAGGCACUUACUUUGAGAUGAGAUAAAAACUGGUACUUGAGGUUGCUACACUUUGCUAUAGGAGUAGGCCAUUUGAUCGGCCAUCAAUGGAGAAUACAUUGAAGCUUUUAUCAGACUGGAAAAGCAACAAGAAAAAUAACCCAACUAUUGAAGCAGCAGUAGCAGGAUUAUGAUUUUAGAUGCAUACUGGAAUUCCAGAAGUGACAAUAAUAUUAUUGUUCCCAGCAAAAAAAAAACACAAACAAAUAGAACCCCAAAUCCAAAAUUUAAUACUUUCUAGAGAAAGAGAACAGUUUUACCAAAACAUUAGGUAAAAAAAAAAAAAAAAGCAAUCAACAAAGGGAAGAAAAUAAGAUCAUUACAACCAAGCAAUCAACAAGUAUUACAGCCAAACAAUCAACAAGUCUUUUCAUUAGCUCCCACUCAUAUUUUUAAGAGGCAUGCUCGUCAAUGUUCUACAUAUCUGACAAUACGAUGUAGAGGAGUUUGUAUUUUUCUAAAACUUAGGGGGGUGUAUCCAAUUCAUACUUAUAAAGACUUUUUUUAAGUGAGUAACUUUCAUAGAGAUGACAAAUUCUUAAAUACUUUCAUAGAGUUGAUAAAAGUCACUAGUAAAUUGGCAAGACUUUUGCUCUUAACAAUUAGUCUUAAAAGUAUAGAAAAGUCAUUCAUUUAAUAAGCUUUUUAAAAGUCAUUAACUUUUUGGAUACCACCAAACUUUUAAAUACUUUUUAAAAGUCAUAACUGAAUACCACCAAACUUUUAAAUACUUUUUAAAAGUCACAAUUGAAUACCACUAGACUUUUAUAUACUCUUUAAAAGUUUAAAUUGAAUACCUUUAGACUUUUAAACUCUAUAAAAGUCAUUAAAAGUUUGAAUUGAAUACACCCUCCUUAAUAUGAAGAGUGGUGGGGUGUGUGGGGUGUGUGUAUAGAUGUAUUAGAGUAUUAAAUUGGAUAACUUUUUUUAUCUUUUUACAUAAUAAUAAAACUUACAGCUUAAUGAUUUAAGUAUUAGAAUGAACUAAGAGAAGUGUGAGGUUUAAAUAGAAAAUCUCAUUUGAAAUCCCACUGAUUGAUUAGAAUUUAGAAAAGCCUUUGUUUUAAUGCUGGAUUUUACGUCAUGCCCGAAAAAGGGUCGUGUAAUGGCUUUGGGCAUCAAUCUGACCUAGGUCCAUUCUGGCUGGAUAUCCAAAUCCCAAAUUAUACGUUCUGGGCCGAGUUGAAUGUACUCAAACUAUUUGGGCCAAGUCAAAUCUGCUCAAACCACUUUCAUAUACUGAAGAAAAACACUUGUGAACCGGCCUCUUAACCACAAGCGCACCAACUCGGAGCAGUGAAGCUGCAAUGGUAGGCAAGGUCGAAGUGGAAGCGAUUCCGGCGCCAAAUCCCCGAGGCCGUCACAUAAAGAAGAGGGCUCUUAAAAACAAGGCUCUCGCCGUCACGUUCAACGAGAAAGAUCUCAGGUAGUACACCGCCAUCAUGAGCUUCAUCAGUAACGAAAACUAAGCCCUGAAUUUUGUUCUUUUCGUAUUUUGUGAAUUGGGUCUUUUUCAUAUUUGGGGUUUAAUGUUUACUUCUUUUGGGUGUUUAACUUGGGGGGGGGCUUUGGUUUGUGAAGCGAUUUUGUGUCUGGGUUUCACAAGAGGAAGAAGAAAAGGAGAAAGGAAGCCGAGAAGAAGCAAGAGGAGGCGCUACGGCGUAAGCGUCUUGAGCUGCGCAAAAAGGUUAGAAUUUAUGGUCAAUUUUUGACCCUUGGAUGGCCUCUUUUUUAUGGUAUUUUUUCGUGCAAUGAUGUAGCUGUAUUUUAUUGAUCUUUGGAUAAUAGUCUAUUGAUGUAAUCUCAUUGUUGCCAAGUUGCUGUUUUUGUUUGCGGAUGACUGAAAAAGCUAAAAUAUAUGUAAUGUUUAUUUAUUGACCGCACUUUCUUGGAACAUAAGAACUAUUAGGAUGUGGAUCAGGAAUAGCACUUCCCAUUGACCACUAAGUCUCUGUUUUGUUGGUCUGAUUAUCUGAUACGAGCCAUGAAUCCUGAAAAUAUGAAUAGAAUUAUCAAGCUGUCUACAAUAAUGCAAUUAUAUUGUCAAGUUUUGGUUAGUUGUGCUUUCAUAUUAUUAAUUUCUAAAGAAAAGUUGAUUAUUGAUUGUUGUAUGUCUGCAAAUAAACUUUGUUUCUCUUUUUCCCUAUGAUGAUUUUCACGUGCGUAACAUAAAAAAUUAUUAUAGUACAGAAGAUUCAACUUCUGGUAGGAUGGUAGUUACUGUGGAGGGAUACUUCUGCUAGGGAUAUUACCUGAGCCUUUUUGUUGGAAAAAGCCAGUAGCACCAUUUUUCUAUGCCAAAAACUGAAAAUUUUGAAAAUUUUGGUAACCAAUGUCAACAAACUUAGUCUUGUUCCGCAAACAUUUUCCACCAUAGAAAUCAGAAGAGAAUGCCAUAUUGCACAUGCAUGAUAGGGGGUUAUUGCUUCUGAGCAUGUCCUCUCAGGCAGUCAAAGCCAUAUUGCAACUGUUCACCUUAUGCAAGGGAUUUGACCUCAGGUAAACUUUGGCUCCUUAAACCAUUUUAACCCAGUAAUUCUUGAAUUUUGAGGCACAAAGUUUUUAUUUUUCUGCUGUGGGGUGGGGGUCAGGAAGAGGGAGAAAAGGUGCCAUCGUUGUUCAUACAUUUUUCAUUCUUUAUGAGAUUCUUCUUUUGAUUUUGUUUUGUUUUGUUUUUUUUUACAAGGGCACUGAUAAAUAUAUGUUAACGUUCUUGAAAAACAACCCAAGUUUUCACUGUCUUACCUUCCUUUGGUAACGUUUGUUGCAGAGGAGACUAGAAAAGGAACUGGCUCUUAAUGAUGACGCUCCCCCAGCCACUGACACAGCAGCUGAUGAGAGUGAUGAGCAUGACGAGGAUGAUGAAAGUAGUGAGCCAGCUCUACCAGUUUCAGGUAUUUUCCAAAACUUUGUUUCACAAUGGAUAUAAACAUGUAUUUAAGCUACUUUUAUGUGUCAGUACCUACUAAGAACUCAUGGGUUAUGUUGGGUGCUCUAGUGCUGCUAACCCUGCUGUCUCUAACCAACUUCUUAGUGGUUGGUGUUUUGGUUAGCGAGACAGUAACAAAGCUGGAACCAAAGGCACACACUAUUGAAUUUAGGAAAUCUUUGACUUAAGUGGCAAUUUAAUCACAUCACUUGCUACUGAUCACAGAUUAUUCAUUAUGUAUGGCAAGAUGGGAGUUAUUAAUUCUUUAUAUUUCCCUAAUUAUAGAUUUCUUCAUAUACUUGUGAUAUAUGAAAUGUUUCUAUAGAACUAAUAGUACCAAAAAGGUUUAAACUGUUGGGCACAAGUCUUUUGAUGACUCAUUUAAAGCCCUUUGAAUGUUCUUGCCUAAACUAAUAUAAAAGUACAAGUCAUAGUAAUGGCUUUUUGAAUGUCAGAUAUAUGAACUUAUCAGUGAAUUUGUCCUUGGAUUUUAUAUAAAUAGAGGUGGAUUGUGGUCUAUUAUGCUGUAAUGCUUCAGUUCAUGCUUAAUCAGCAUUUGAGUUUACCUUUUGUUAUUGCUUAAGGUACAACGACUUAUGACAAUGGUGACAUGAAAGUCACUGUGACAACAAGCGAGAUCUCUCGAGAAGAGGAAAGUGAUUCAGAUGAAAAGACAGAGGCAGCAAUACCCCAAUCAGUUGGAGCUUCUAAAAAGCACAAUGUGCCUGUGAGCAAGACAAAACCUUUGAAAAAAGUUGCAAAACGAAAAUCACGGCCCAAGCUGCAACGUAAAAGAGAUAAAAGGAAGGGACCGGAAAAGACCAAGAAGAGGCGCUAGGUUUUGGUCUUCCCUUUCCCGAUUCGUUGAGGUUGUAGGAUCAACAUGUCUUUCCAAUAGAGAAAUAUGAAGUAGUGAACUCAGCUGCCCAGAACUUCCAUUUGGGUCUGUAGAGUUUUUGGUUGUUUGAAUCAAGCUUUUAGUUGUAUACUGCCCAUUUUUGUAUUAGACCUUUGAUUGAAAUGGGAUGUGUUACAUUUUUCCGUUCUGCAUAAUCUCUUUAUAUUUCUUUUGGAUAUAUUGUAUCUUUCAUCCUUUACUGCAUAUGUUGUAGCAUCUUUGUUAAAGUGAAGCUGUCUUCCCUUUAUAGAGGAAUUCAAUUUGUUGAACAGAUUUAAUUAUUAAAGUAGUAAUGAUGGGCAAUGGAAAUACUUAGGUGUGACCGUUACACACGUAUAAAUAAUAAUAAAUACACGUAUUAUGACACAAGGGAAUUUUAUUAUGACACAAGGGAAUUGUAGUAUCACGUGGUGGUGUGAUAAUCACCGGAAGAAUUUAUCAAGUCAGAUGGAAAUAAAAGAACUCAUUCAUUACACAUAACCAGAAAGAAAUGUCCUAAUCAUAAAAUGAAGUUGCUUAGCAAAGUAAACAAAUUGAAAUAGUAAAUACCAGAAGUUUUGGUGCUUGUUCGUAUCAGAUUAGUAGGAAGAAAAAUUGCAGUUUGAUUCCUUAAGCAUGCUUGACUUUCUUCAUCACUCAUUUCUUUUAAUACUUGUUCAUUUUCGGAAAAAAUUGCAGUUUGAUUUCUUUUAAUACUCGUUCAUUUUCGGAAAAAAUAAAAUCUUAAAUUACACGGCUACAAUCGCCAAAGCACACAAUUUUUCUGGACCCAUACAAACACACGCAAGCACCCCCGAAGACUCACGUGGCCAAUCAUUAAAAAAUUCAAAAGAUUCCUAAACUUCAAUGGAUCCAACGGUCCUUAUCGGCCGAUUGUCUGCUCGCAAAAGAUCUCAGCCACCCGACCAAGGGGCAGCGAGAGAUUCGCCACUGUUUGGAGCAAAAGAAAAAAAAGAAAAGAAAAGAGGGCCACUGUAAGCCCAGCACACUGGGACAAAAAGCCUAUCUCUCUCUUUUAAUUGUUUCAAAGACGUUAGCGAGAGAAAAUUCGCAGACGCUUCGACGAAACUUCUCAGAUUCCUCAAAUUCUCUCCCUCUCAGGUUUUUUUUUUUCACUUUUUCCCGCUCGCUUUUUUUCCCUACUUUUUCCUUUUCCUCUUAUCCAAUUUGAUUCCACACAUCACACAUGGAAUAAAGCAGAGAACGACUCGUGUUUUGGAUCAGAUUUCGUAUUUUGUUUGGCUGCUCAGAAAACGGAAGAAAGAAAAGAAAUUCGAGUCGUUUUGUUGACUUUUGUUUGUUUAUUGGUGUGUGUUUGCGUCUGGGAAUGGAAAAUUCAAGUCAAACUAAACGUUAGCUCUAAGUGAUUUGUAAGUUUUGUGUAUUUUGUCUGAUUGGUUUCUUCCACUUUCUCAGCAACCAAACAGGAGGUUUAGUUUUGGGAACGGUGAAGAUGCAGACAAGGUACAUGGAGAGAUCGAAUAGUAUGGCGAGGGAGAAGCGAGGUUUGGAUUCGUCUUCAGCUGAAGAAGGCCAGCCAGAUAGGAAACGGCCUGCUCUAGCCAGGUCCUUUUUUGUUUGGUUAAAAAAACUUGGAUUUCCAUUUAAUUUGAAGUAAUUUGUUAAUUGUUUGGGUGUGUUCUGUAACGUAAAAAUGGAUAUGAAAUCUGUUAGAAUUUUGUGUUUUGUGUGAGAAAUAUUGGAACUUGAAGUGUUGAACUGAUAAAUGUGCUAUAGAAACUCAAAACUCAUUUAUAUGUUGUGAAUAAUAUGUAAAAAGUACAAUUAAGAAGCUUUUGCUCACAGUGCAAUUAUGAUUAAGAAGCUUUUUCCCCCCGCAAAGGUCUUGGUCUCAGUUAUAUGUAAUUAAUUCAUGCCCACUCUAUAAUUUAUGUGUGUUCAUGCCCAACUUCCCAUAUAUCGCAAGUAGGGGCAACUAUAAUGUUCUGGAAUUAAUUUUUUUAUCAUAAGGGAUGGUGGCUGACAUACAAGUCCGCAUUUUCUCUACUUGUGGAGGCGAAAAGAGUGUUGGGGCCCUGUAGUGUGGCACGCAUUUUCUCUAAUUGUGACAUACAAGUCGUCUAAUGACUCUAUCAGAUUCUUUUCAGAUGUCUGAUGCUUCUCUUAUUCUUAAACACAACAAUUUCAUUGUGUUAUCUAAUUCUCUUAGGGAUUAUGUUGGGCACAGUAUCUGGAAAUUAAUCAAUUUUGGCUUAUAUUGUUGUGGAUUCAUGUUAUUCAUUUGUUAGAGAUGGACUUAAAAAACUACUUUUAGAAAAUAAAAAUAAAAUAAAAGAAAGAAAGAAUAUAAGCCUGGAAUGAAUUGAAUGUCUUGAGCAUGAUGAAUGCACUCAAAAUGUUGUUUAUCGAUACUAUUCAACUUAAUGCAGUGUAAUUGUUGAAGCUCUCAAGGUGGAUAGUCUGCAAAAGCUUUGCUCGUCAUUGGAGCCGAUUCUACGUAGAGUUGUAAGAUAUUUUUAUUUUCUUGUGGACUUUUGUCUUCUCUGUGAAAGCUUAAUAUAACUGUCUCUAUAUGAAUGUCUAAUGACCAGUUUUCGAUCCUUUUAUAUAAGUAUAUUGUGUGCGAAGCAUUGUUGGAUGUUUCUUAUUUAUUUAACGCUGCUGAACAGGUUAGUGAAGAGGUGGAGCGUGCUUUGGCAAAAUUAGGCUCUGCCAAACUUACUGGGAGGUAUCAACCCUUUCCCCCGUUUCCUCCUUGUUUGUUAAUGGGUUCCAAUCCUCUGUUGUUUCCAUUUUUCUAUUUAGGCAGUUCUGAUGCCUCCAUAUAAAUAGUUUGUUCUUCUAAUGGGUUCAAAAACAGCAGGUCUUCUCCUAAACAAAUUGGAGGGCCUGAUGGAAGACACUUGCAGCUGCACUUUAGGUCUAGGUUGUCUCUUCCUCUCUUUACUGGUGGAAAAGUAGAAGGGGAGUGGGGUUCUGCAAUCCCUAUUGUCUUGAUUGAUGCAAAUACAAAGCACGUUGUGACAUCAGGCCCAGAGUCUGUGGUGAAACUAGAUGUUGUUGUGCUUGAAGGUGAUUUUAACAAUGAGGAUGAUGAUAACUGGACCCAAGAAGAAUUUGAGAGCCAUGUGGUGAAAGAGCGUGAAGGAAAGAGGCCACUUCUGACUGGGGAUCUGCAAGUGACUCUGAAGGAAGGUGUAGGAACACUAGGGGAGCUAACAUUUACUGAUAACUCUAGCUGGAUUAGGAGCAGAAAAUUCAGGCUAGGACUGAAAGUUGCCUCAGGCUAUUGCGAGGGCAUUCGUAUACGGGAAGCAAAAACAGAUGCCUUUACUGUUAAGGAUCACCGUGGGGAAUGUGAGUUCAUAAUUAGUGUUAUUUCAUGUUUCCUUUGUUUGUUAGCUGAAAAAAAGUCAGAACGGUCAGUUUUGUUUUGUGUGCUUUACAGUAUACAAGAAACACUACCCACCUGCUUUAAAUGAUGAGGUCUGGAGAUUGGAGAAAAUUGGAAAAGAUGGCUCCUUCCAUAAGAGACUGAAUAAAGCUGGAAUUGUUACAGUUGAAGACUUCCUACGACUUGUGGUUAGAGACUCGCAGAGAUUGCGGAAUGUAAGAUUGUGGAAUUGUUUGUCAUGUUCAGAUAAUGAAGUUUCAGUUCCUAAUUAUUUUUCUGUCCAUUUGUCACAGAUUCUUGGAAGUGGCAUGUCGAAUAAGAUGUGGGAUGUCCUUAUACAGCAUGCAAAAACCUGUCUUCUAGUUGGGAAACUCUAUGUCUACUAUCCUGAUGAUGCAAGGAAUGUUGGCGUUGUUUUUAACGAUAUCUACGAGUUGAGCGGCUUAAUUACCAAUGAACAAUUUUACUCUGCCGAUUCACUCUCGGACAGUCAGAAGGUAUGUGACCCUCUGGUUUCUCUUUUUUCAUGUAUAUUUCAUACUGCCUGGAUUUGAUAUAUUUUAUUGUUUUGUGUUCCUUCUUAUAACAACUGAUACUACAAGUGCAAUGUUGUAAACCACUAAACUCAAUUAGGUUGCCUCUGUUUUGUCCAAAUGGGCAAUUCUUUCUCACCGAAGAAUCCAGUCCAUAUGCACUUUCUAUUUUAUUUACAAACAACCCUCUUUCUCCAGAGGAGAUUGACAUGGUUAAUGUAUCUGAAGUGAUGCAAAGUAGUAAUUAGCUGUGAUCCCUCAAAGUUUUAUUGGGGCUGUUAAAGCGAUACUUUUUAUAUGUUAGUAGAUUUUCCAGAAAAGAAUUCUUUAGUUUCUAAACUAUGCCAAAAAGGUGAAUCUGAGAGAAUUGUGAAUGGUUUUGUUUCUUUCAGGUCUAUGUGGACGGUUUGGUGAAGAAGGCAUAUGACAACUGGAUGCAUGUGAUGGAGUAUGAUGGAAAGUCUCUUUUAAACUUUAAGCAGCAGAAGAGUCCAGAGGCUUCUCUACCUGAGGUUCCAUUGGCCACACAAGAUUAUCCAAACUCAUUUGAUCAAUUCACCCUACCUAGCCUACCAAUUUCAGUUUCUGCAGAACAGCCUACUAUGGACUCGGGCCUAAGUGUAGGAGGUAUAUAUAUUUAAUUUUGGCACAAAUUGGUCAUAUUCAAUUAUUCUUUUAACUAGCCCUCCAAACUUGUGUUUUUUUCAAGUGUAGGUAUGUGUUUUAAAAUCCCGAGAUAUGAAAGGAAAAAACUGUUGUUAUGAGUGUUUCGGCUAAACUGUGGUUUCUAACGUCUGUGAAUGCUCUCUCUCUCUCUAGGUUAUAAUGAUGGCAUGGCUACCAGAUUCUCAACACAGAACGUAAAUCUCAGUGCUCCCAUUCAGCUUGAUGGCUUGGCAUUUCCUCUACAGAAUCAGUUGCCUAGCACUUCAAACCAGGCUCAUUUUCAAAGAAAUGAAAACAUGCUUGCCCUCGGUCCCCCACAGUCAUCCACAUCAGGGUUCCAGAAUAUUGGUACAUCCAAUCUUACUUCUUAUAGGGGAGUUGAGGACCUCUUCCCAGAGGAAGAAAUACGUAUGAGGAGCCAUGAGAUGCUUGAAAAUGAAGAUAUGCAGCAUCUACUUCGUAUCUUUAACAUGGGUGGUCAAGGUCACGGUCAUGGUCACGGUUAUGGACAUGCCUCCAUGAACAUUACUGAAGACAAUUAUCCUUAUUCCACAGCAUACAUCCCCACUCCACCAGUGAACUACAGUACUGAUGAUGAUCACAGUCGUUCAUCUGGAAAAGCUGUUGUUGGCUGGCUCAAGCUCAAGGCAGCCCUUAGAUGGGGCAUAUUCAUCAGAAAGAAGGCUGCUGAGAGACGGGCACAGCUAGUUGAGUUGGAUGAUUCAUAAAUAUGACUUGUACGAGGCAAAGCUGAUCGGAUUUUGGUGUCUCUAGGCUUUCGUCUUCCCCGCCCCCCUGAUUCCUGUCAUGCUGCAGCUUCUAACACAAUGGAGGACUAUGGUUGUGGGCAGAUAUCAAUGGAUAAAACCUUAAGUUCGAGCUGUCCUGCUGUUUCUUGGAAUACAAGCCUGACAUUCUUGGGACUGCUCUGCUUGUACAGUUCGUGUGCAAUAAGCUUAUGUCUUCUAUUGACACCUGCUUUUACAGUUGUGUUUUACUGCUGGCAACAUAAAACAACAUUCUUGCCUGCAAGUUCUGAAACCAACAGGAGUUGAGCUGUUUCAACUGAAGGCCUUUGCUAAUCUGAGAAUAGCAUUUCGGAGUGGAAACUUUCCUGUAUAACUAGAGUCUGCGAAGGUUUUUUCUUGUUUACAUUUGUAAGUGAUUAUGAUAGUAUGAGGGUAGGCGAGUUCUACACUCAUUUGCUAGUAUGCUGAACUUUUAUCAUGCCCUUAGUUUGUGUUAGUGGCGAUCUGACACCACUAAUGUGCGUUUUGUGUUGCUUUGUAAUUCGAUAUUAAUAAUUAAAAUUGUUGGAUCGUUUCAUGUUUUCACAUUUCAUCAGCAAUAAGAAGCUCUAUGUUGAUUUAUUUGUUUUUCAAGAACAUAUGGCGAUAGACAUUUCAUCUUAUUUUUCAUGAUCAUCAAAGCUUCGUUCUUUUUCUUUUUUGGGGUAGAAGGUAUUUUGUUAAAUUGAGUUUGCAAAGAAAUUCAGAUGUUACUCGUACCAAAAAGCAACCUCCGAUUUUUUUGGUUUUGGUCGACAAUAAAAGUCCAAUUUUCAGUUCUCUAUUUUAUAUUUACAAAAUGUAAAGUAAUUACGAGAGAAAAAUAAUUAUGACACAUGCUCUGGAAACAAAAUUUAAAACACAUUUGUUUGCGAGAACAAAAUUAUGAUACACGCCGAGGCAGAGAAUGUAAAACAAACAAAUUUGUCCUAGGCGUGAGUGAGAAAUUAAUUUAUAUAUACAAGUCAUUCUGCAUCUGAGACUUCGUCUUCAUCUUCCUCCAGAAUGUAGACCAAGGCACGUUUUCUUGCAGCAAAAACACAAGCCACGCCUCUUGAUGCUGUUACAACAAAUUCAGCCAAUAUUUCAAAAAACAAAAACAAAAACACGCACAAUUCCCAUGUUGCAGACACAAGUGAUAGAACAAGUUGAUUUGAACUCAGAAUUAAAGAACUUACAACUGACUGCCAGUGGAGCAAUAACAGAGUGAGGUAUACUGCGAACCUUCUCAUUCUCCAUUUGCAAGUGAAAGACAGAGUCCUAAAUGUACAUGUUUUAGAAAAGUAUCAUAUACCACAGAGCAACAUGCGAACAGAGAGAACGGGGGUCACAGGAUUUUUUUAUAUUAAGUAAUUUAACACAAUCAAUGCGUGAGGGAGCAAAAAUUAGAAUUACCUCUAGUUGAUGCAACUUCCAGUAGUUUAGACCAGUGGAUCUUGAGAUAGAUACAAAGGGAAGGUCAUUUACUUGCACAAUCAUCAUAGAAGCAUUUCCAGAACUUUCAGAAGUGGCAGUUGUUUCAUUCAAUAACAGAACAAUCUGACUUUCCUGUUAUAUAUUAUAAAGCACUUUAAGUGACCUUCCAAAAAACAAAAAUUGAGAUGACUGCACAUGGUAACUUAGGUCUUUACCUUAUAUAAGGAAAGAUCCGCACAGCAAUAACCACCAGGUACACACAAUAAUACAGCUUCUAGUGAAGUAUAACCCCUCUUUACACUGAUCGAGUCAUGCAUAAACCCUCUCACUAUGCCUAUACAAUUCGAAACUCCGGAGAAAGAACCAUCUGGUAUUUGGAAAGAUAUGUAAUCAAGAAGCAUGUGUUGACUCUGAUGAGAAGAGACAGAUUGGGAGGCAUCCUAUGGAGUAUGAAAGAAAACAAAGAGUUAAUGUCAUUGAUAGUGAAUUUUAAGUAUUGGAAUCCCUUUUUGAUUUUUCUGAAUAAUAGAACAAUUGCUGGUUGAUCACGCAUGUUAAAAACAUCCUCAAUUGCAAAAACAAUAAAUACCUUGUAAUACGAUACUGACAUCGGAAUGGUGGAAGACAAAGAUGCUGACGAAGGUGGAAGAGGGCAAAGCGGCAAUAAAUCCCCGCACAGUAUCUUUCUUGAAAUUGUAGUAAAAGGCAUCCGAAAAGCCUCCUUAAAACUAAAAGAACAAGGGGGCAACUGUAAGUUCAAAUAGAAAAAGCACGUACUAUUCAAAAAAUGUAUGUAGACAUGCUUAUAUGUGAGUGUGUGCACGCCCACUUGCUUGUCUUUGUCAAUGACUCGGUGUAAAGUUAAUCAAGCAGGAUCUCAUUUUCAUUUCAUGUUACUUGGGAAAGUUUUGGAGUAAAGAAUAAACAAAUUUAUACUUUCAUGGUGACUGAAGUAAUUAAGUUAAGUUUACUGGCUGCAGUAAAAGGAAAAAAAUUUUGAUAACUAGAACCACUAAAAACAGGAAUGGUGAUUUGAAAUCAUUAAAGCAAUAUUUCUCUGAUCUCUGUCAGAGAGCUCAUAAUAGAUUAACAUUUUCCUUUAACAGUAAAUAAUGAUAUGGUUACAUUUUGAGGAAUGGAAGCACGUCAAUUUAUGAGACUGCAGGUUCCAUGGAAAAAUUUAUAGAUGAGGGCAUGGAAAUCCCCCAAACUGAACUUAUUCGCCAACCAUCUACGUACCUAGACUCCACCUGCUGAAAUUCCUUGGCUAAAGUCCUUUGCAGAUAUUCAAAAUCUGAAAAUCCCCCAAACUGAACUAAUUCUUUAACUCUCUGCAUUGUCUCCCUGAAAACAAGGCAACUUCAUACUGUUUAGAGAUUUAAUAUGAGAAUCCAUAUACUUGCAGAAUUGCCACACAUGCAAGCACACAUGUCCAUUCUUCAUAUGCACAUGCAUGUAUACAGAUAUGCACGAAGUAUCUGGUGUUUUUAAUUUGGAUGUGCUCUGCAGGCAAUAAGGAUAUUAGAUAUCAAACCAUCUGCAGCUGUACAAAAUAGAUGGCUACAGAUAAGCCAUAACUAUGAUAUGCAUAAAAGAUACUAAAUGAUAGAAUAUACCAAUUGAGAAAAUGGUUGUACUAUAGACUAGAUUGUCCGUCAGUGUAAUUUAAAAACAACUUACAAACCAACUUCAAUAUGGUCAUCAGCUUCUGAUGCUUCCAGCAACUGCUUCACAGGAUCUUGAUCGUAUAAAAACUUCAAGAAUAUAACAACAAGUUCACUGCCAAAGUGUUAUGUUGUGAGUUAAAGAAUAUAUGCUGGUAUCCAGAUGAAACAAAGAAGAAUAUGUGGCACAGACCUAUUGUACGGUAGAAGAUGAUGAUCACUAGGUUCUGACAUAAGUAACUUUAUACAUUUCAACAGCCAGUUGAAGAAAUUUGAAAACUGAAAGAAAAUACGUCAGAAUUUCAGAAAUUAAGAAACUUUUCAUUUUGUACAGAACAUAAUCAUCAAACUGCCUGAAUUAUUAUACUUCUUCAGUUAUUUCUAAUGUUAGUCUUCUUAAAAGUUCAGGUGGCUUUUUGGAGUUAAAUAACAAUGGUUUCUCUAAAUUAACAGAAAAUCAUCUUAAGAUAUCCGAGCAACUAUCAUUUCUGACUACAGCCUAUGUAGUAAAUAUAGUUGGCAACAGUGAAGGAAAAAAAAAGUAGGAAAUCUGCUAGAUCAUGCAUAUAGUUAUACAAGCAAUAUUUAUUCUCCAUCUGAGAACAUUCUAAAAUAAACGAGCUUUUAAGAUGCAAACAAACCUGCUGCACCACAGUUGAAAGCACCCUAAUAAAUCGUUCUACUUGUAUAAGUAUCAUUCCAGCUUUCUCUGUCGCAUUAUUGAUGAGUGCCUCAUCCAAACCAAUACCCUGAUAUCUUGCUCGCCAUCUUGAAAGGCCUCUUAGUUCGCCCAUCCUGAAUGCAAUAAUUUCUGCAGCAGGCUGGAAAAAGGCAGUUAUGUUUAGUUUGCACCCAAACCCUUUGAUAGAAGGAACAUUAGAAAACAGGAUCAUAUAUAUUAGGCAGCAGGUUUACUACUUCUGUAAACAUAAACAUGGAUCAAUUUGUGAACUUUAAAAAAAGGUAAAUAAUAUUUCCUACUUCCGCCAGUUUCAUAUCCAUGUAUGAGAAGCAUUGUAUUUUAAUAUAGAUACUGAUCAGGGAACUAUUAAGUGAUGUACCUUUUUGUACAAGAUGAUACCAACAAAAAGUAGAACAAAAAUCAAUUGCUCCUAACAGGAAACUAUUGCAUCAACAGCAAGAGCUAACAAUAACGCACCUGGAGAUGAUUUAGGACAAUAAGCUGAAGUUCUUUCCCGGCACCACAAACAGCCUUUGACACGCGCUUCACACCCUAUUAGUAAAUACACUUGUUGAAUCCACUAUGCUCUCAUGUUCACUUUUUUUAGCAUAUCACUAAAUGCUAAUGUCAAAAGAGGUUUCUAUAUAGGACUAAGCAUACCACUUCACCAAGAGAGUUAACUAGAAAUUGAUGAACGGCUGGACUAGUCCUUGCACCACCUAAAAGACUCAAAAACUCUUCUUGGGGACAAGAGUCCAGUCCUAUAUACAAAUGGUAGGAAAUGUAUGAAUGGAAAACUAAAAUAAGCAAGAACUGCAUCAAGAAAGAGGGAUAUAGAGUCAUUGAGAAGUUACCAUUGUCAAUAAUCAGAUUAGAAAGAGAAUCAAACUUUUCAUGAAAAGUGUGCAUAGCAUCAGACCAUUGCUUAUGCAUAACUGAAAGUGAUGCCCGAAUAACCUCAACCAAUUCCUCAAUGUUAGAAGCUUGUUGAGCCACUUGGUGAAGCUCAUUUUUCCUACAAUGAGAAAGACAGUCAUAAAACAUUAUAAAUGCAGAAGGGAAAUCAACAGUUGAGUAGAAAACAUAAAUGGGGUGCAAUACUAAGCAUGACUAUGUCAACUACGUCUAAACUGAUGUCGGAGCCCAAAACUUUACAUCUAGAGCAGUUAUUGGUAAGCAUUGAAACAGUGAACAAAAAGAUAAAAAGAAAGAGAUGAUAGAGAUGAUAGAGACUAGCAAUAUGUGGUAUCCUGGUUUUUAUAAGAAAGCUACCUCUUCCAAAAUAUAGAUGUAUCAAGCACUGUGCAGUGUAAGCCACGCACACCAUGUUGAGUCAUUGACCUGUUUUCUGAUUCUUUCCUAUCUUCACUCAAUUCUCCUGAACAUAUGACUAUCAAAUGACAAAGAUCUUUUGACAAAGCAACCUAAUGACAACAUGUAACAACAUCAGCUUGAUCUGGUAAAGUAUUUUUCUGUUGGCCUGCGAAAAGCUUCAAAAAUGAAGCAUAUGAUGUUAAAGUGAAAUAAAAUAAAAUAAAAGGUAAAACUGGAAAUUAUGAUAGCAUUAGGAAAUGGAAAAAUCCUAACAGAAAGAAAUCUUCCAAGACCAUGACAGUAACUUUGCCAUCAAUUAUUCCCCACAUGCAGAAGUACUAAACUGAAAUAAGGAUGAAUGUACCUUGUGAACAGAAGCAUUCUGAAGUCUGCACUCAGCUUUUGUAUCCAUAAGCAGAGUAGGAACAAAGAAGUUGUGUAUGUUCUGGCACAUUGCAAGUGCGUUAAAUAUUAAAGAUAACAGAGGCAGUUAAGUGAUAUAUCACACAUAAACUGAAAUAAGUAGUUUAACAUAAUAAAGCAUUAUCAACUCCAUCACUUUUUAAGAAUGCUUCACAUGUUACAACUUACAAUUUUCCCUAUUGAGAAAAUCCCAAAUAUGCUGAAGCAAAUGAAUCCAUCUUUGUCCCCACUACAGAGGAUAUUAAAUCGUUGCUGUGAAGAAUUUGACAGCUCUCGAAAUGAAUCUUCACUAUCAUCUAUAAAACCAGUAUCUCCAGAUACCAGUCCAGGCAUCCGUGGAACUCUUGGAGGAGGUGGGAAGUAAUGAGGAGUACGGUCUUCAUAUGUUGAUAUGCUGCCCUGCUCAUCCUGAAAUUAGUUUUCAAGAAAUGGAUUGAAAUGAGACCAUACAUUGCCGCUAAAAAACAAACUCAUCUCCCCUCCUUUCCCCCCUUCUUCUCCCCCAACCCAACACCAACCCCAUCCCCCCCCCCCCCCCCCCAAUUUAGAGGAAAAAUACUAACAAAGAUGAUUCCUGAAAGCUUCUAUAAAAAUUAUAUCAGAAAUAGAGUCAGAUUAAUAUUGUUAUGUCAUAAAUUUCGAUAUAUAUAUUUUGGUAAAUUAACUCUAAUCUCAAAUUUCUAAAGUAUAAUGAAACAUCAGAAGUUCAAAAAAGUUAGCAAGUAAAUAUGGAAGCAAGAGCAUGGUUAAACAUCCAGGCAAAAGUUUUGUAAGAAGAGAUAUAUUUCUGGCUGAAAUUUAACACACACAAAAAAGUUCAAGUAAAUAAAAACAAAGUGAUUUUCACCCACUAAACCCAAAUUGGUGCAUGGCCUACAAUUAGAUCGAUAACGACAUACUUUAUUCAUCUGUCCAUCCUCCUCCCAGUUAAGAGAAACAACAGCAACACCAUGGGAUUUUAAGCUUCUCAGCAACUUUCCGUUCUGCCUUGCAUUAAAAAAUCAUAAAUGAAGAGCCAAAAAAAUAGAAAAGCAUAGGUUAUAACUUCAUAUCGUAAAAAAUGUUUAUGCUACUUACUUCAACAUCGUGCAAUGAAACUGUUCCAUCUUCAAGCCCAACAGCAAUUGCUUUACCAUCAGGACGCCAACAUAAUGAUGUUAUGCUCUUUCCUAGUCAAAAUUCAGAAAUAGAAAAGAAAAGAAAAGUACCACUAAGCUCACACUCAAAGCACUCAAGACGAGAAUAACAUAAAAUCAGAGAGAGAGAGAGAGAGAGAGAUACCGGGAGAGACUGUCCACAACCUCUGCCAAUUAAAACGGUGCAGCAAAAUCUUGGAGUCUUCAGUGACCAUAGCCAGCAAAUCCUUCUCGGGGUUCCAUUCUGCAAUUUUAAUCUGCCAUUCAAAAUUCAAAGUUACAAAGACCGAAUUUGGCACGCUGCCACAUAUACAUUGGGGAUUUUAUUGAGAAAUUGUAAAAGAAACCUGAGAGGCAACUGGCUUAUCGAACUGAAGCUGAAAGGGAAGCACUCGUUGAGCCUCAUCAGUUUCCAUGGCAAAAUCUGCACACAGAAAAAGUCUGUGAACCGCAGUUUGCUUACAGAACCUUAAAUCUUGAUAGCACCAGAAUGAAUGGGAGCAGAAACGGUGCCGUUUAGAGAAGAAGAAGAAGAUAUCUGACUGAGCGGUGAAUUCUGAUCAGUGAAGAGUGAAGAGAGGGGGAUGUGAGUUGAGAGAGAGAGAGAGAGAGAGAGAGGGAGAUUGAAAAUGAGGGCGGGCUUUUUUUAUUUUUGGGUUUUAAAGCCCGAGGCCCUAAACCGAAGGCCGUGGAAAUCGAAAAAUUCAGAUCAAAUGUCCAAAAGCAAAAAAUUAAUAAAGAUAAAAACGCCGUUGCCGGGGAUCGAACCCGGGUCACCCGCGUGACAGGCGGGAAUACUUACCACUAUACUACAACGACUCCAUUGAUAAUAAUAGAUUGAAAAUAGAUAUUUCACAGCUAAUAACUUGUUUAAGAAUUUCUUUCGCCUUGUGUUUUGUUUCUUCUACUGAAGCCCAAAAAUGAUUCUCUGCUAAAUUUGAGGCUUGGCACAAGUCACGACCCAGCUUCGAACUGAAGCUGCGGACCCUAUUUUUGGCGGCAAGACCAAAUACAGCCUAAAGCCAAGUAGCUAACGCAGUUGAUCAGUGAGGCUUAAGCUCAAGCUUAAGCAAUGGGAGAAGAAGAGCAGCGUCGCCAACCCCAUUCGCCCAACCCAGACACAGAAAUUACUGAAAACCCAACGGAGCAAGACUACGCUUGGCCUGCGAUUCGGUUCGAUGUUCCUCCACAGAGAACCUACCACUUCUGCCACCAGUUCAGAGCUUCUCCAAACCCCAACAACUUUCUCAAGGGCGUCAAAUGGUACAUGUUGCACCAACCCUUGCUUUCUCAUUCUUUUGUUUUCUUUCCAAAUUUUGGUUUUUUAUUUUGUGUUUAAUUUUUUGGGUUUAGGUCUCCAGAUGGGUCGUGCUUUCUUACCAGUUCCGAGGACAAUAUGCUUCGUGUUUUCGCAUUGUAAGUUUUCCAUUGAUUGCAUUGUGUGGAUUGUGGAGAGUACAAAAGAGCAAUGUAAAUUGUAUUUGAGUAAAGCAGUGCCAUUUGGUUUGGGUAACAAUUUUCGGUUUUACUUUCUGGCCUUUAUAACUACUCAAAAUGCAAUUCAAAAAACCAACUUUCUCAAAUUGUAAAAAUGGUGUCUGCUACUGCUAGCUUUAUAUUGGACAAAAACAAGUUUUGCUAACUAUACUCUUGUUUGCUUCUUAACCAGACCAGAUUAUGGGAGUGAUAAUGUUAACGCGUGUUCUGUAGCUGCUGAUGAAGGUAAGUUCGCUUUCAGAAGAUAUUAGUCUAAAAUUUUAUUAUAUUAUGUACUAAUAUUAGUUUCUUCCAAAUAUAUUCUCAUGAAAAGAAUAAAAGUUUUUGCUUGGUAUUAUUUGUGAAUGAAAGUCUUCAUUGUCGAGCUAGGUUUGAUUAGUUUGUAUUUGCAUCUAAGUGAAGUCAUCCUUUUUAAGCUUUUAUUUUUUUACUCUUAAGCUGCAGAUUCCUAUGCUGCAAACAGUGUUGUGAAUGAGGGAGAGUCCGUAUAUGACUUCUGUUGGUACCCGUACAUGUCUGCUUCAGGUAUCUUUGCAACUCUGUCAUGGGGAGAACCUGUUAAGUUUAUCCUAUUAUUAUUAUUAUGACAAUGAGAAUCUCCAUUUGAUAUUUCAAAAUAUAUAUUUUAUAGCGGCUGAUGUAAUACUCUAAGCUAAAGCUUGAUUUGGAAUCUUGGUUGGCAUUUGCAGACCCGGUUACCAGUGUUUUUGCAACAACAUCUCGUGACCAUCCAAUUCAUCUUUGGGAUGCUUCUUCGGGGCAGGUGCUGGCUCAUUAUUGCAAGUCUUCAUUAUGCAAAUAAAAUUAAUAUCUUUGUAAAGUUUACCACUUGAUAUGUCAUUGCAACAUAUACAAUUCGGCUAUUCCAUGUUUAGAUCACUGUGUUCCCUUGUAUAUGAAGUUCUGAUAUGUAUCUGGGGAUUCAAUAUUAGUGUAUUUCAUUAACACCAUUUUCUUUGGCUUAAAAUUGCAGCUACGUUGCACGUAUCGUGCUUAUGAUGCCGUGGAUGAAAUCACAGCUGCCUUUUCAAUUGCCUUUAAUCCCACUGGAACGAAGUAAGAAAGAUCUUCUGCUUUUUUUCUUUCUUUUUUCCUUUUUCAAAGGUUAUACAAUUUAAUCACAUGUUUUGUGCUUUAGUUUUUGUAUUAUUACUUUCAUGUUUGAGAAUAUAAAUUUUGUGGAAUUUAAAUGGACAUCGAAUCCUGGAUUUCAAUAUUGGACACUAUGCAUGUAAGUUCUUACAAUAAACUGUGAUAUAACUGUAAGACACCAUGUGGAA
Molecule: long non-coding RNA, 50792 nt
Filed under: Prunus persica (peach)
Lineage: Eukaryota; Viridiplantae; Streptophyta; Magnoliopsida; Rosales; Rosaceae
Description: long non-coding RNA (PPER_LNC003974)
Source: RNAcentral